GUACUCAGGAUGCUGCGUUGCGGUCCAAGCCACCCGCCAAUAGUGGAAGAAGGCAACGUUCUAUCUGCUGAUGAUGAAUCAUUGAUGAAGGAAAUCCACUGUUUGGAACAAUUAAAUCUCAUCACCUUGUCCUUACAUGGUUCGCGUGGUGUUGAAAACUUUCUGAAAUUCCCAAAGCUGCAGAAUAUCACUCAAGCUCUGUCCAUCGAAAACUGCAACAGUCUACCGCUCAAUUUGUUGCAUCUAGCAAACAUGGAGCAUCUUGAGCAGUUAAGCAUUUGGGACAGUAAUUUGGAAGACUGGAAUGUCGACUGCGCGGGAGAGGUACAAAAAAUGCGUAAACUUCACUUUGUUACAAUAUACGAAUGCUCAAAUGUGAAGGACUUGACGUGGCUUGUUUUUGUUCCAAAUCUCAAGAGGCUGCGAAUAUUUGAUUGUGAUGAAAUGGAAGAAAUAAUCAGUGUUGAAAAAUUUGAAAAAUUGAGUGAAGUUUCAGAGAUGAUGGGAGAGCUUAACUUGUUCUCAGAGCUCGAAUCUCUGAGUCUAGGAUAUGCAAGUAAUUUGAAGCGCAUCUACCACGAUCCCUUGCCCUUUCCACAGCUGGAGGAAAUUCGCAUAUCAGAAUGCCCAAAGUUGAAGAAGCUCCCGCUCAAUUCCAGCAGGGCAAAGGGACGUAAAAUUGUCAUUUACGGGGACAAAGAAUGGUGGGAAGAGCUACAAUGGGAGGAUCAAGCCACACAAAAUGCUUUCUCUCCCUGUUUCCUACCUGAUGAACAAUAAAGUGCAAUACCAAGCAAGACUUUGAAUAAAGUUUCUGCGUGUGCUUAAUGAUUAUCUUGUCUAUCCAUUUCAUUUAAUUUAAAAGCUUUCUACGGUGUUGCGUGUGUGUCACUUGUCAUUCUUCUGUACUGCUGUUUCCUAUUUCCAGUUAAUAAAAUUUUUUUGUUCUUAGAAAUGCUUUGCUGGUAAGGGAGAUUCACAAUUUUCCCAUAUUAUGAUUAAUAUAUUCUAUUUACUUUCCUACUAUUUUGCAUAAUUUUUUAAUAUUAUUUUUAUUUUUAAAUAUAUUUUUAUUCAUAUUUAUUAUAAAUUAAAUAAAUGUAUGAAUAGAAAUAAAAAUAAAAAUUAAGUAUUAAAACAAGAAAUAUAUAUUAUCAUGUGAAUAAAAAAUAAAUAUUUGUUUGUACUUAUUUAUUUUAUGUAUUCAUUAUAAGAAAAUAUUUAUAAAAUAAAAAGUGCAAGAAAGAUAUUUUAUUGUUAAUUUUUUAUUCACAUCAAAACAUAUAUUUCUUACUUUUAAUAUUUAAUUUUUUAUUCAAAUCAUCAUUCAUAUGAUUUAUUUAAUUUAUAAUAAAUAUGAAUAAAAAUAUAUUUGUAAAUAAAAGUAAUAUUGUAAAUUAUGUUGUUAGAAAUUAUUGGUUAUUAUAAAAAUAAUAUGGGAUAAAUGGUAAAUCAUAGAUAUUAUUUCCUAUUUUCAGCUAAAAAAUUUCUUUGUUCCAAGAAUUACAUUGCUAGUAAUAAGGCUUUCAAGUUGCUUAACUGAAUAUGACUUCUUUCUUAAAAAGUUUAUCUAUUUCGGAGAUUGAUUAUCUCGAAGCAGUGAGAUUUAUGUAAUAUUGGUAUUAAAAAAAUUUGUGCUACUAAUAAAAAAUGGUCCAUCGGCCUAAAUGGCAAAUCGUGGCUUGAUUUUCUCAGCCCGAAGGCUCCGUAUCUCACUUUCGAAAGUAGUUUUAGCAAAAUGCAGGUAAAAAAUAAAAAUAUUCUGCAAUCUCUACGUAGCUUUUUCAGCAGAUUUCACCUAUUUGACUGUAGACGAAAGCAUCCAUUGGAUCGAUGCAUUUAUUAAGAAGAGGAUCAUCCGAAGGCAAAAGAUCAAGAUUAUCAUCUUAGGCCAGGAUAACAAUGUUCACUGCCCUCGCCAAUAGUACCUUUAGUGCUCUUCUUAAUUAGAUCAUUUCUUGUAUUAUAGUUUAUUUCGUGAAUAUUUUGAGGUUUAUAAAGGGGAAUUGAUUGAUUAUUGGAUUAACGAGGGAUUUGUACUUGAUUUUGAUGAAGGAUCCACCGAUCCACCAUUAUCAGUGAUCUUCUUCACACAUAUUUAUUACAAGAGGUAAAUGAUAAUCAUGUCAAAUGCAGGAAGUGAUUCGGGAUAUGGCAUUGCAGAUAGCAUGUAAAAUAGAGUAGGAGGAGAACUUUUUUGGUUCAUGCGGGAGUUUUAUUAACUGCAGCACCAAAGAUUGAAGAAUGGGAAGAGGUCAAAAGGAUAUCAUUGAUGGACAAUAAUAUUACGAGUCUAUCAGCAAUUCCUAAUUGUCCUUGUCUCCUAACUUUGCUCCUUUAGAGAAUCAAAAUUAGUAUGAUCAUUUAUGGUUUCUUUCAAUUUAUACCUUCUCUUAACGUUUUGAAUCUAGGAUUCUUUAUAUUUCUGACCAAAUUACCUUCUUUAACUGUCAUAAAGGAGUUGCUAGAAGAGAUGAAGGCCUUGGUAAAUCUUAGAUAUUUGAACUUGGAAUAUGUAACAUCAAAAAAUGAGUGCCCGCAACUGCUGCGUAACUUUCUAAAGUUGACAGGCACUCAAAAUGCUGGGUUGCAGUAAUUAUAGUGGAGAAGAAGAAGGUAGAGCUUUAUAUGAAGAUGUCGAACCUUCAUAAGUUGCUCUAUUUGGAAAACUUGAAUCUGUUGAGCAUUACCUUCGAUAGUUGCCCUAUUCUUGAAAUUCUUUUAACAUUACAAAAGUUGCUGAUUUGUACAGAAUCUCUAUGGCUUACAAAAAUUUAUAUUCUAGUGUCCCUCAAUGUUUUACCUCGAGCAUACAUGAAGCAUCUCAAAAAUUUUCUUAUUCAAUUUGCAUAUGAGAAUGCAAGAGAGAUACAAAAUUUGCUACAAAGCGGUUUUCGCAGUCUUCAAACAAUUUGCAUAUGAUUGUUCAAGUUUGAAAAAAUUUAUUUUCCCAAUCCAAUCAAGAUGGAGAGUAAGCCUCAAAAGCAUUGUGAGCUAUCUUUACAAUUUUCACCCCUUCUUUGUAUGUGAAGAAAGAUAAUAAAGAACAACAAAUUAGUAAUGAAGAAAAAGAAAAUGGCAAGUUCAAUAUGGUAGAAGUUAAUUGUCCAUUUAACGUUGCUCAAUCAAGUAAGCUUUACCUCCAAUUCUUGAAGAAAAUGGCUAAUUCUACUCUCUUUUACUUUUCUUGGUUCUGCAGUAAAAUUCAGUUCUAGUUUGAAGGAAAUUGUUAACAUCAAAACCUACAUAUUGCCUAAGCGUCUGCUGACAUCAUAUUUCCAGAUACACCAUAACCAGAUCAUAUAAGACAAGAAAUGUGAAAGAAAUACAAAAUGAGUCACAGAAGGAAAUUACAUGCUCUGCAAUUUUUCCUGCUAAACCCAGCAGUUAGAAUGCUAAUUGUUUCGAGCACCUUAAUACUCAAAGGACCCCAGCUUGAAAUGGCUUUAGCUUAGCUUCCUUUAGCUCUGUUGCAACACACACACACCUCCAGGAAAGGAACAGAACAAAAUACCUCAUCAUACCAAAUAUGAGAGAUAAGACGAGGCAUUACUCUGUGGCAUGCACCUGAUUUCUCUAGAAAAAUCCAAUUUCUCCAUAGGUUCUCCACAAUCAGUGUGUGAUCAACCUUUAAAGCAUUCAAUUUUAUCAUUAAGAGAAGGAAGGGAAUUCCUCCCAUGCGAUGGUAACUCCUUAUUUAACACAGGGUCAGAGCAGAGCAAGAAGACCAGGGAAUUUCAUUAGAUUAAGAAAAGAAUCGCCACCCAAUGGAGCAUUUGAACCAAAACUCUUGUCAAAUUCUUGAAAUUUCCUGCUUUCAUUAAGAGAACUGAAGGAAGAAAGAAGGGGGGCAUAGCCAGAACCAGAUUUAAAUUCAAUCGGGUUUUUUAAGCUAACAAACCUGCAUGAGCAUCUAAAAUUCAAUACCCAUGGAAUAGAUCUGCCUUCAACUUCACAUACCAGCUUCUCUUAACCAAUGACCACCAUUAGAAAUAAGGAUUCUUUAUCGUAAAUUCAUAAUGCACGAAAGAAAUCAUCGAAAGGCCCAACCUUCUCUCUGAGUUCCUUCAAGAACCAAAAUCCACCAAAACAAGUGAAUUUCAAACUCUAUCACUCAUCACUCUCUCUUUCUCAGUUGUUUGGGCCUAUGAUGCCAAUUUACAACAUUCAAUCGAUGCUGAAUAUUUUGUCAGCUUGUCCCAAUUCCAGAUGUGCAAUGUUCACAUUACAUUGUCUUGCCUACCAUUUGAUUUGAACCAUAAAAUCUAUCUAAAGAAGUUCAUGUUUCACACUUUCUUAGCCAUUAUCAUCAGCAUUCAUCUCCCAUAUUCUCAGGUUUAAAUCAUUGGAAACUGAGUGACAAAUAUGAUAAUAGAAUGAAAACUUUAGUGGCAUGAAGGAACAUAGAAGCAACAUCGGAUGUUUUAAAUCUGCAGCAUAAUUUCCUUAGAUCCCUCACAAAGAUUGAAACUUCAAAUGAAAUAAAGUAGCAGGGCAUAGAUUGGAAGUCACGUGCUUGAUAUUUAAUUCUGUCAAAAAUAAUUUGCAGUAUUGAAAUAGAUGCUCUAAUAAAUUUUCACAGGGAUUUCAAUAUUUGCCGCUAAUCUUCAGUAGUGAAACAGGAUAAAAUCAUAACGUGUCCUAUAACUAGCAGAGGCAAAAAGAUCCUACAAAAAAAGAAAGCCAAAAACUGUUACAAUCUACAGAACGCAAGUAUUCUACUAGCCAACUCCCAUUAAAAUUUGAAGCCCUUCUAAAAUCUCAGCCUAUACUUCCUUCUAUGUACCCCAACUGAAUUUCUCCUAGAAAUCACAUUUCUUCAUCAGCCUUAACUCAUAAAUCUUUUACUUUUAAUCAGAGAUACUUUUUGAUAUGCUUGGCUUUACAACAAUGAAUAAUUUUCCUUAAAUCUUUUCUAAUGGACAAGAAAGCACAAAGCACAAAAAUUGCCAUAGUUGGAUAGAUAGAAACAGCUUUUCCUGAAGCUUUGUCACAAGAAAACCUGAACAUCAUCGCUUCUCUUACAAGGCCCCAGAGCAGAAGAAGUGUCCCAAUUAGGCUCAUCCUCCAAGCUCCAAUUAAGGCUCCUGCAACAGACAAAUAGCUUCCUGCAAGAACCUGAUGUUCCUCCAAAAGAAAAAAAAAUGACAAAAUGAAAUGCAAUGUACUACUAAGUUCAAGAGAAAAGCUCCUAAAAUAAAAUUUUGGAGUUUUGGUUUGCCUAUGGUUUUAUGACUCUUUUUGUACAAAGAUCAUAUUUAGGCAUAAGGCUCGUAAUGUUUGAAAUAGCAAUAAUUGACAUGAAUAUGAUUGUUUAAAAAAAAAAGAAUAACAAUAACCUCUAGGCGGAGGAGAUCAGUUUUCCGGGAAUUUGUUAGAUUGGUGAAGUUAUAUAGCCGCAGCAAUUUGCUGUAGCUUGGAAUGCUUUUGCCCUUCAUUAUGGCACUUGCCAAUGCUCCAGGAUACAGAAGAACCUUGGCUACAAAUUCAGGGAAGACUUCACCUAUAAUCAACUGGAAGCAUGUCACCUCUAUAGGUGUUGUACAUUUUCCACUUCUACAUGGUAUCCUACAAAAACAAACAAUACAACAUGUAUUAUACAUGUAUUUCAAAAGCAUUUUUAAUGCUAUUAAGUUUAGCCAAUGAAAUCUCUACAAGACAUCUGGGAUUCCAACUCCUCAUAUGUGAAAUGAAUGUCAAAAAGAAAUGUGGGUUGAGUCGGCUUUUAUGCUUAUUAAUAGAAUUGAAUAAUGCUGCCAGUGACAGUAAAAUGAAUUUCAUGUGAUAAUUGAAUCAUAAAAGUGACGUAAAUGAUGACAAAAUAAUCACCAUUAUUAUAUAAAAUGAGAAAAUAAUUAUGGAAGAAACAGGAAGAAUUACCUGAAAAGAGGGAUUUGGAAGACAAUGAAACAAAAAUAUAAAGAAGAAGCAAUUGAAGAUAUAAAGGCUGCCCAUUUCUUUGAUGAACCCAUCAACAAAGGCUUGAAACUGUAAAAUGCUGUGAUGGAGGGAAUUGAAAGUUGAAACUCUAAAAUACGCAAAUUAAUUCAUGGGGCCAUCUUGAUUGAUUGAUUACAUAGUAAUUGAAAAGUGUCCGUACAUAGUGACAUCAGUUUUCUCUCUUAAAUUAGGAAAUGGUUCAUUUGUUUUUUUUUUUUCAGUAAUUAGUGGAGAAAAUUUGGUGAAAAUAUCAUGAAAAUAGCCAAAAUUUAGGAGUCAUCCAUAAUGUUAGCCGGUUUUUCACUUCUUUUAAUUUUAUUGCCAAAAAAUACGCCAUUUUAGAUAGAAACAGCCUUGGCUAGCCCUUUUGCAAGUUACACUAUUAAGUGCGUGUGAUAACAAAAUGUUUAUUCUAGUUUCCAACCCUGAGAAUUUUUCAACCUCAAAUAAAUAAAUAAAUAAAUAUUAUCUGGUAAUGAUAUGUUAAUCAAAGUUUUUAGAGUGUCAUCCAACUGAACACCCCCACUAUAACCAUUGGGAGAAGGAAAUGAGCUAUCUCAUGUGACAAUAACUCCUUUUUUAACAAAGGAUCUAACAAAGCAAGACGGGAAGAUCAUUUUCUUCCCCACCCAGUUGAAAUAAUUUUCUCAAAAAACUCAAAGUAGAACUAACAGACGUUCUUUCAAUAAUACCAACUGUAUUUGCAAUGCUUUUUUUCUAUUUCAUUAUACAUACUUAUUUGUUUCUACAUUAUUACUUUAAUGUAUAUUACUUAAAAUAAAUUAAAAAGUAUUAAACGCUUUAAUUAAACUUUAAUGCUAAAGAGCUCACUUUAAUGAUGUUUGAACAGCAGUAGCUUGUUAUAAACCUUAAACAUUUAAUAGUGCAAAGUCAUAACCUUAUGUCCUGCAGCUAGUUGAUAUCUCCCCAAGCUAAAAAUGUGUUGGGUACUCUUCUUCCUUCUUUUUUUUAAUGUUACAAUUUAUAUAGAUGUAUUAUUAUUUUACGUUUAUUGGGACUUUAGAUACAUGUAUUUAUAUAUUAUUUUAUAAAUCUACCCAGACUAGUUCAGAAAUUUACUUUUAAUUAUAUUCAAUCUACUCUCAUUAAGGCCAUGUUUGGUAUUGAGUUAACAUAAUUGUUGUAAAAAAAAUAUAAUUAUGAAAUAAAAAUGAUUAACAUAUAAUAAAUAUGACUUAUAAAUAAUUAUUUUGAAAAAAAAUUAUAAAGAUAUUAUAAGUUUUCCAAAUAAAAGUGGUGGAUCAAAUUAAUUUAAUUCUUAAGUCACAAUAGUUAGUGUUUACCAAACAUUAAAAGUUAUUGCCAUACAAUCUCAUUACCAAACAAGAUUAACAAUAUUAGCAAAAAAAUCUACUUUUAUUCUACAUUAGUAUUACCGGUGUCCUCACCAUUAUUGAGAUUUGAGAGCAUCGACCCUAGGCUUUCUUACACUCUGCUUGCUAUAACUUUCCAAGUAGAAUUUUUAUUAAAAAAAUUAGUUUUUUACUUAUUAAUAAAAAAAUUAUUAAAAAUUAUAAAAUUAUUUUAAUUGACAAACUUCUUAAAGUUAUAUUGUGAAGUGAGUGAAAUUAAAUUGCGAAGUAAGUAAAAGAUAUUUGAGAUAAUUUAAAAAUACUUUCCAAUCUCUAUUCUAAAAAGUUUAAAUUUAAAUCUUUAUCAACGUAGACGAAAUAACUUAUUUAUUUCCUUUAAAAUUCUACUCAAAUUAUAACUAAAUAAUAAUAUUAUAUUUUUAAAAAAUAUUAUGAGAUAAAAAAAUAUUUAAAUAAAUAUUUUUCAUCCAAUAUUCAUUUACUUAAACUUUAAAAAAAAUAAUUAUUUCACGCCGCGGCGGCACAGAAAAAUACAUUUCCAAAUCCCGGAGAGUAACAAUUAACAAAACAAACAAAAGGGAUUUUAAUAAAUUUGAUGCCUCGUUCACCGAAUCUGGCCAAUUUUAAAUAAAAUGGGUGACGUGAUCAUGAUCAUGUGAUAAAUAAAUAUUUAUUUCAAUUUCCGACCCACAUAAGCAUUCAUCCCAUCUCAUAAAGAAUUUCUCCACACGAUUUAAACAAAACCCACCCUCUUUAUGGACUCCACUUUUCAGAAGGGUGUUUGCCUUUGCCCACCGAGUAACCAACCAAAACUCUUUCCCCUUCUGCUUUCAUUCUCCAACUCGUUGUCACUGACUCACUGUGUUUUGCUCUUCCUCUCUAUAUGAUAUUUAAGAACUAUUAAAUGUUUGUUUGUUUCUAAAAAAAAUAUUUGUUUUUUUGGUAUUAGAUGAUUAUAAAUAUUUAUUUAAUUUUAUAAUUUUUUAAAAUUUCUUAUUAUUGUUUCAUUACUUUUUAGUAAUUUUUUAAUAUUAAACAAAUUAUUUUUGUCUCGACUAAUAAAAACUUAAACUCUAAAUUUUUUAGAACAUAAAUUACAUUUUUAAAAAUAUCAAAAUAUUUAAAAUAUAUUUUAUUUAUUUAAUAUUUCAUUUUUUAUUAAAUAAUUUUAUAAUUAUUUAUUAAAAUUAUUUUAUAAUUUUUAAUAAAAACUCACGUUAAUAAUUAAAUAACUAAAAUUAUUUUAAUAAAAAAUUUACUAAUAAAAAUUCUACCACACUGCAGAGUCUACUCACCUGUCCGUACUGUUUAAUUUUUAAAAUUUUAAAAAAUUCUACCCUCGUUAUCAAUAUUAUUUCAAUACUGUCACCAAAUACGAACAUCACAUCUUAAUAAAGAUAAUUGGGUGUGUUAGCAUUUUGGUCAAAUUUACAGUAUUAUUUCAAUACUAUUUACGCACAUCGAUAUCAAUAUUAUUUCAAUACUAUCACCAAUAUUAUUUCAAUGUUAUCAUUAUCUCCCCAAAAUAAUGAUAAUUAUUAAUUGUUUCAUCUCAUAAAUAAAAAUUUAAUAUUGUGUAUUUGCGUGUGAUGGCAUUUUGGUCAAAAGAUGAUUUUACCUUUACAUUAUUUGGAUCUAUAAUAUAAUAUGAUUUUCAACAAAAAGAUAAUUUUAGGUUGUCAGAUGAUAAUAACAACCAAAAAUAUUAUCUCUCGCCUGUAACUUGAGGAUAUAAUAAAAGUUUUUCAUUAUACUCUACUGUUAGUUUCUCUUCUUUUAUUCCUUUGAAAUCUUUCGACAAAAAUGGGUGGCACCAUCUCAACUUUCUUAUCAACAGACACAAUUCGUUCAAUUUUAUCUUAUGUUGGUGGAGAAGCUAAGUAUAUAUGGGGUCUUAAAGGCAAUCUCGAUGACUUGCAGACUCAAAAGGAGAACUUGACUGCGAAAAAACAAGAUCUGCUGAAUAAGGUUAAGCUUGCCGAGCAACAAUCCCGAACCAGACGGACGACGACGGUGGAACUUUGGUUUAGAAGGGUGGAAGAAAUAGAAACUAGAGUUGAGAAUCUGCAAAAAGAAGGAGAUCAACAGGUUGAUAGACUCUGUCUUGGAGGCUUCUGUUCCACGGACUUGAUUUCAAGCUACGACUUCGGCAAAAAAGUGGAGAACUUGAGAGAAAAAGUGAUCGAACUGAAGAAAGAGGGGGAAGCAAUGAAAGAAGUUUAUGAGGGGGUACCAGAAGGUGCAGCGGUUGCAAUAGCUGUUGACCGAACAAUUGUUGGUCAAGAAUCAAUACUUGACCAAGUUUGGAGAUGCAUCACUGAUCAAAAAAAGAAUGAGGGAAUUAUUGGCUUAUAUGGUAUGGGGGGCGUCGGCAAAACUACUCUGUUAAACCAAGUCAAUAACAAAUUCUGCGGUGAUGAACAACAUCAUUUUGAUGUCGUUAUCCGGUCGGUUGUAUCUAGAGAGCCAAACAUGAAGCAGAUUCAAGAGGAUAUUGGGAAAAGGAUAGGCUUCUCAAAAAAUUCAUGGCAGGAUAAAAGUUUUGAAGAAAGGGCUUCAGACAUCACCAACACUUUAAAGCAUAAGAAGUUUGUAUUGUUAUUGGAUGAUAUAUGGGAGUCCGAAAUUGAUUUAACCAAAUUGGGCGUCCCUCUUCAGACACUAGAUUCUGGGUCCAGAAUAGUCUUCACAACUCGUUUUGAGGGUACUUGUGGUAAAAUGGGAGCCCAUAAGAAUCGGUACAAAGUGUUUUGUUUGGGAGAUGACGAUGCCUGGAAAUUAUUUGAGGGGGUGGUCGGGAGAUACGUUCUUAACAAGCAUCCCGACAUUCCGAAGUUAGCCGAGGAUGUGGCACGUCAGUGUCAUGGUUUGCCGCUAGCACUCAAAACAGUAGGUAAUGCCAUGGCGAGCAAAGAGUACCCUGAAGAAUGGAAAGAAGCAAUUGAGAUCCUAAGCGAAUCAGCUUCUAAAUUCGAAGGUAUGGAGAAAAAGGUGCUUUCGAUCUUAAAGUUCAGCUAUGAUAGUUUGCCGAAAGAUGAACUUCGAUCUUGUCUCCUGUACUGUUGCUUAUUUCCCGAAGACUCUGAAAUUCUAAAAACCGAGUUGAUAGAGUAUUGGAAAAGUGAAGGAUUUGUGGAUUCCAGCAGCGGGUGGGGGGUUCUUGGUGCUCUCGUUCGUGCAUGCUUAUUGGAGGAAGCAGGUGAUCAUGUAAAAAUGCACGAUAUGAUCCGUGACAUGGCAUUAUGGAUAGCAAAUGAAGUAGAGGAGGAGGAGAACUUUUUGGUUCGUGCAGGAGUUGGAUUAACUGACGCCCCAAAGAUUGAAGAAUGGGAAGGGGUCAAAAGGAUAUCCUUGAUGCAGAACAAAAUUCAAAGUAUAACACAAAUUCCCACUUGUCCGCGUCUGCAAACAUUGCUUCUGGCGAGUAAUCGUAUUAAGGAGAUCACUGAGAGUUUCUUUCAAUCUUUGCCUUCACUUAGAGUUUUGAGUCUAAGAAGAAAUCGUUCCCUGACUGAACUACCUGUGGGGAUUUCAAGUCUGGUUUCAUUACACCAUCUUGAUCUGUCUUCUACUAAAGUACGUGGAUUGCCGCAAGAGCUCAAGGCAUUGGUGAAUCUGAGAUAUUUGAACUUGGAGUUUACACGUGAAAUGUGUAAAAUUCCAGAGCAAUUAAUAUCAAGCUUUUCAAAGUUACAGGUACUCAGGAUGCUGCAUUGCGGUCCACGUCACCAGCCAAUAGUGGAAGAAGGCAACGUUCUAUCUGCUGAUGCUGAAUCAUUGAUGAAGGAAAUCCACUGUUUGGAACAAUUAAAUCUCAUCACCUUGUCCUUACAUGGUUCGCGUGGUGUUGAAAACUUUCUGAAAUUCCCAAAGCUGCAGAAUAUCACUCAAGCUCUGUCCAUCGAAAACUGCAACAGUCUACCGCUCAAUUUGUUGCAUCUAGCAAACAUGGAGCAUCUUGAGGAGUUAUAUAUCGAGGAUAGUAAUUUGGAAGACUGGAAUGUCGACUGCGCGGGAGAGGUACAAUAAAUGCGCAAACUUCACUCGGUUCUCAUACGGAAUUGCUCAAAUGUGAAGGACUUGACGUGGCUUGUUUUUGUUCCAAAUCUCAAGUGGCUGCGAAUAGUUGGUUGUGAUGACCUGGAAGAAAUAAUCAGUGUUGAAAAUUUUGAAAAAUUGAGUGAAGUUUCAGAGAUGAUGGGAGAGCUUAACUUGUUCACAGAACUCGAAUCUCUGAUUCUAAGAAAUGCAAGUAAUUUGAAGCGCAUCUACCGCGAUCCCUUGCCCUUUCCACAGCUGAAGGAAAUUCUCAUAUUGAAAUGCCCAAAGUUGAAGAAGCUCCCGCUCAAUUCCAGCAGUGCAAAGGGACGUAAAAUUGUCAUUUACGGGGAGAAAGAAUGGUGGGAAGAGCUACAAUGGGAGGAUCAAGCCACUCAAAAUGCUUUCUCUCCCUGUUUGGCUGUUUCGUGCCUUCAUGAAUAAUAAAGUGCAAUAAGGCGCAAAAGUGUGAAUAAAGUUUCUGCGUGUGCUUAAUGAUUGUCUUGUCUAUCCAUUUCAUUUAAUUUAAACGCUUUCUACGGUGUUGCGUGUGUGUCACUUGUCAUUCUUCUGUACUGCUGUUUCUUAUUUCCAGUUAAUAAAACUUUUUUGUUCUUAGAAAUGCUUUGCUGGAAAGGGAGAUUGUCAAUUUUUCCAUAUUAUGAUUAAUAUAUUCUAUUUAUUUUCUUAUUAUUUUUAUUACAGUCAAUAAUUGUUUGAUAGCAUAAUAUUUUAAUAUUAUUUUUAUUUUUAAAUAUAUUUUUAUUUAUAUUUAUUAUAAAUUAAAUAAAUGUAUGAAUAGAAAUAAAAAUAAAAAUUAAGUAUUAAAAUAAGAAAUAUAUAUUUUAAUGUGAAUAAAAAAUAAAUAUUUUUUUAUACUUUUUUAUUUUAUAUAUUCAUUAUAAGAAAAUAUUAUAAAAUAAAAAGUGCAAGAAAAAUAUUUUAUUAUUAAUUUUUUACACAUCAAAAUAUAUAUUUCUUUCUUUUAAUACUUAAUUUUUUAUUCAAAUCAUUAUUUAAUUUAUAAUAAAUAUAAAUAUAAAUAUAUUUGUAAAUCAAAGUAAUAUUGUAAAUUAUACUGUUAGAAAUAAUAAUAAGUUUAUCUCCAGCAUGAAUAACAUUAAAGCGUGGCUAGCAUCAUCAUAUUUUAUCUACAGCAUCAAAAUACUGAUAACAUCAACACCAUAAUUCCAAGGUUGUCAAACUAAUCAUCUCAAAAUGCCAUUAUGCUUAUAGCGUGCUGGCAUCAUCUUUACUUUCAGCAUCAAAAUUCUUUUAUUUAAUACAUUUUUAUUUUAUACAAUUUUUAUCAUAUUAAAACCCUUUGUGACCUAAGUUAUAUAGACUUUUAAAAAUUUUAUGCCACCUCUCUUUAGUAAUAGUAGUAUUGAUUAUGAUUUAAUUAUUUUUUUUAAUUUAUUAAACACUAAUCACUUAAAUUUAACCCAAGAAAAAAAUUAGAACAUCAAAAAAAUUUUAAUUGAUUCUUAUUAAGUACUAGAAUUAACUUCUCCCAAUGAUAAUUUAUUAAGCAAACCAUAAUGAUCAUCUUACACUAAAGAACCAACACAUCUUCAAAACACAAGUAUUUAGUACAAAUAAUUAUCCCAAUAAAAUUUAAUGAAAAAGGAAAGAGAUAUUUUUAUUAUUUCUUUUCCUUUCUUUUAUUUCAAUUUCUUGCCUCUUGAUCUCUUCCAAAAACCAAGCAAACUACUUAUUAAAAAAUUAAAAAAAAAAAAAAAAAGGCAAAGCGCAAGAAAAAAAGAAAUAAAAAAAUUCACAGUCACAUGUGGCUACACACAUCCCAACACCUAUCUGUCCAAUAAUUCAUCUCCAAUAAUUCAUCUCCAAUAAUUGCCCCUAUAUGACCACCGGUUUGUUCUUGCAUAUAUAAGAAACAGGAUAAAAUCGUAAUGCGUCAUUUAAUUAGCAGACGCAACAAGAUCCUACAGGAAAAGGGUUUGCAGGAAAAGAAAGGAAAAAAAUUGUUACAAAUUACAGAAACCCAAAUAUUCUACUAAGCUAACUCUCAUUAAAAUUCGAAGCCAUUCUUAAAUCUUAGCUUAUAGUACUACAUCAUUCCUUGUAUGUACCCCAACUGAAAUUCUCACAGAAGUCACAUUUCUUUAUUAGCCUCAACUCAUGCAUCUUUUACUUUUAAUCAGAGAUACUUUUUUAUAUGCUUGGCUUUACAACAACGAAUAAUUUUCCUUAGAUCCUUUCUAAUAGACAAGAAAGCACAAAGCACAAAAAUUGCCAUAGUUGGGUAGAUAUAAACGGCUUUUCCCGAAGCUUUGUCACAAGAAAACCUGAACAUGAUCGCUUCUCUUACAAGGCCCCAGAGCAGAAGAAGUGUCCCAAUUAGGCUCAUCCUCCGAGCUCCAAUUAAGGCUCCUGCAACAGACAAAUAGCUUCCUGCAAGAACCUAGUGUUCCCCCACAAAAAAAAGCACAAAAUGAAAUGCAAUGUACUGCUAAAAUCAAGAGAAAGGCUCCUAACAUAAACUUCUGGAAUUUCACUUUGCCCAUGGUUUUAGGACUUUUUUGGUACAAAGAUCACAUUCAAGCAUAAGGCUCGUAAUGUUCGAAAUAGCAAAUAAUUGAUAUGAAUAUGAUGGUUAAAAAGAAAAAAAAUUACAACAACCUCUAAGCGGAGGAGAUCAGCUUUCCGGGAAUUCGUUAAAUUGGUGAAGUUAUAUAACCGGAGCAAUUUGCUAUAGCUUGGAAUGUUUUUGCCCUUCAUUAUGGCACUUGCUAAGGCUCCAGGAUACAGAAGAAACUUGGCUACAAAUUCAGGGAAGACUUCACUUAUAAUCAACUGGAAGCAUGUCACCUCUAUAGGUGUCGUACAUUUUCCACUUCUACAUGGUAUCCUGCAAAAACAAACAAUACAACAUGUAUUAUACAUGUAUUUCAAGUACGAAAUAGAUCGAGAGCAUUUCUGAUGCUAUUAAGUUUAGCCAAUAAAAUCUCUACAAGACCUCUGGAAUUCGAAUUCCGCUCACAUAUGAAAGGAAUGUCAAAAAAGAAAUGUGGGUUGGAUAGGAUUUUACGUUUUAUUACUAGAAUUAAAAAUGCUGCCAUUGACAGUAAAAUAAAUUUCAUGUGAUAAUUGAAUCAUAGAAGUGAGUACGUGGUGAGAAAUAAUCACCAUUAUUAUAUAAAAUGAGAAAACAAUUAUGGAAGAAGCAGAAAGAAUUACCUGAAAAGAGGGAUUUGGAAGACAAUGAGACAAAAAUAUAAAGAAGAAGAAACUGAAGAUAUAAUGGCUGCCCAUUUCUUUGAUGAACCCAUCAAAAACGGCUUGAAAAUUAAAGAAACUGUCAAAUGCUGUGAUGGAGGGAAUUGAAACCUAAAAUAUGCAAGUUAGAUCAUGGGCCCAUCUUGAUUGAUUGAUUGAACACAUAGCACCUGACAAGUGUCCUUUAUAUACUGACAUUAGUUUUCUCUCUUAAAUUAGGAAAUUGUUUAUUGAAAAUAGCCAAAACUUAGGAGCUAUUUAUAAUUUUAGCCAGCUUUUCAUUCGUUUUAUUUUUUUAGCCAAGAAUACCCCAUUUUAGAUACAAAUAUCCUUUUGUAAAUUAUACUAUUCCGCACGUGUUUGACAUUUGUCGAAUAUCUUAUGUCUUUUUUUUUUAAUAAUUCACUGUAUGUGCUCAUCUUUAUGGCAAAGCUUAUGUUACAAAUAAUAUACCAAACAACCAAUAAAUAUAGGUUAUUGAUUUUGACAUUUCUUAAAUUCAAUAGAUGAGAAUUAUUCUAACAUAAAACCAAGUCUAGGUGUGAUAGUAAUUUAUAAAAAAUUUUAUUUUUAAUCACAUAGUUAUUUAUUUUUAAAUAAGUCCUCAUUGAUUUUGUAUAAUUAAAUGGUUUUGUUGUCCAUCUUUUCUACAUAUAUUUUUAAAUUUUAUAGAGUUUUUACCAUAUUUUUAUAAAGAUCUAACUGAUUAUCAUAUUCAUAAAGAUUUACAAAUUUUGAAUGUCUUUUUGCACAGGUAUUUAUAAUUUUGUCUCUCUUGAGACAUAGACAAUAUUUUUCUUCUAAUGCACACACACAUAUAUUCAAUCUAUUUUUUCAUCCUAAAAACAUACCAUCAAUUUUGUCACAUAAAUUUUGUAAUCUAAAUUUAGUAUCUUGAAUUAUAAGAGAUCUUAUAUGUGAUAAAUAUGUUACAAAUCUAAUAAAUUAUUAGAAAAAUGGUAUAAUGAAUAAAUUACCGGAACCUCUAAUAAUUUCACAAAACAUAAAAAUCAAUAAGUUACCACCUUCUAGCUAUAGGCAAAAAUAAUUUUUCUAUGGAAGAUUUAAAUUCUUGAUAUGAUCAAUGAUUUAGAUAUGGAGAAAUAAUCAAUUAAAUUGAAUGUCACUAUAUUUAUUAAAUAAAUUAGAAAACCCAAAUUUAUCUAUAAAUGAUAUAGAAAGUGUAAACAAUAUAUUAGAAAUUAAUAAUUGCAAUGAAGAAAAUAUAAAAAAAAUUAAAAGUUAAGAGAUCAAUUGAGUAAAUAAUUUAAUAAAGUUAAACAAUUAAUGAAAGAUUUCAACAUUGAAAAUCAUGAUAUAUUAAAGUAAGAGAUCAUUAAUAUAAUGAAUAAAAACUCAAUAUAUAUAAGAUUAAACAAGUUAGAGAUUCAAUUAAUAAAAUAAAAAUAAUUGCUGAGUAAUUUGGUAUUAAAUUUGUUAUAACUAUAAAAUGAAAAACUUCAAAAAAAAAUUGAAGUAAUUGCAGUACUGCUGCCUAGCUGCAGCUUGGGGCUGAAAGUAGAGCUUUAGAACUUAUUAAACUUUUUAACAAUUAUUAUAUUUUCUAAGGAUUUAAAACUUUAUGGCUGUAACAUACAGCGAAUGUAACGUAAGCUUUGCCCUUCUUUAUACGUUAUUACGUAAACGUAUAUUCCUCAAAAUGAAUUAUAAAGUAUCAAACGCUUUUUAAUUAAACCUUAAUGCUAAUGAGCUCACUUUAAUGAUGUACGAAUAAUAAUAGCUUGUUAUGGACUUACAGUCUUUAGACUUUUAGCAGUGCGAAGUCACAAGCAUUGCCCAAAAUCUAGUGGCAUAGAUUAUGGGCGAUAGGUGCCAUCACUCGAGUGAUUGAUGUCGUCGCCCGGGCGACAAUGUACAUCGCUGAGGCAACAAGCCACUUUGCUAGGCCCAUUGCGCCGACAGCUUUCGUCGCCUGCAUGAUGGCCAAAUCCAUCCAAUAAGUUUUUAGCCCAAGAAAAACAGCUUUGGUGACCAUCACGCAUCCCAUUUUGCUUACAAGUCGUCUUAAUUUUCAUAGAAAAUUGUUGCUAUUGAUCUUCCGAUACUGGCCUAAUACUUACAGAUAAUUAUUAAUCGAUUAUGGAAAGGCAGCAAACUUAAGGUUAAAAAAAGAAAAAAAAAACUCUUAGAGGCAAUUUAGCAAACAUCUUUUGUGCCAUGAUUUUAUACCACUAAUUCUCUAAAUAAUUGCUAAUUUUGCCCUCCCAUUACAAGUCUAAAUGAUAAUCUACUGUUGCCAAACGUAUACGCACUUGAACCCUUAAAAAAUAACUAUUCUACGCCCCAGAGGCACAGAAAAAUCUAUUUGUUUUGUCCCUGUACUCUUUUCAUUUGUUUUGUCCGCUUCCAAAUUCUAGAGAGAGAAAAAAAUUUAAAAAAAAAAGAUUUUAAUAAAUUUGAUGCCUUGUUCACCGAAUUCCUCGAUUUUAAAUAAAAUGAGUGUCCUGAUCAUGUGAUAAAGAAAUGUUUAUUUCAAUUUCCAUCCAACCCAUAUCUCAUAAAGAAUUUCUCAACCUCAAAUAAGUAAAUAAAUAUCAUCUUGUAAUAAUAUGACAUUUACGUUGAAGUAAACACCGACCCACUAUUUUCUCAAUUUUUCUUUUCUGAGGACACUAUUUUCUCAAUUGAAGAAUAUGUUUUGUCCAAAAUUCACAAUUUGCUCCACAUGAUUUAAAGCACACGGAAUUCACACUUUUCUCCACAUGAUUUAAAAGAACAGAGAAUUCUCCCGACCUUAGUUAUGGAUCUUAUUAUGUUUUUUGAAAUUCAAUAUUGCAAACUCAUUGGUGUAUCUAGAAAAUCAUAUUAGUAGAGUAAAAUUUAUAAAUAACCAAAGAAAAAAGUUCACGCUCUUACUUUAUUAUUUUUAUAUCUUAUUAGUAUAUCCAUUUACAUCUCUUCAAAAAAUACAGUUAAAAUAAGAUCAUCAAAUUGUAAAAUUUGAAGAGCAAUAUAUGGUUGCAAACAUUUUAUUUUUUUAUUUUUAAUAAUAAAUUUAAUUUUGACCUUUUUAAUGUUAGGUUGCACAUUUGGAUUAAAUCAAAUUAAAUUUCAAAUUAGAUCUUAGAUCUUAUUUUAAUAGAUUCAACUGGAUUUUGGGCAUCUAAUUAAGCAACCGGACUGAUAAAUUGCAAAUGAAUGAGAUUUGUAUGUGAUUUUAGAAUAAAAUUUUAACUUGAAUUUAUGUAUUUAACUAAUCCAACAAGACAAAUCUGCAAGUUCAACUAACUAAAUAAAAUAUGUUAUCUGAAACUUUGGGUACAAGUGGGGCAGUUUAUCACUUAGUGGCUCUGCUACUACUUAUAGUCUAUUCUUAUUCAACUUUCAGAUCUUUUAUAUUAUAUAACAAAUUAAAUUAUAUUCUAAAAAGUGUAUCUCACUGGUUAACAUAUUAUUUCUGGAUAAUAAUCAAUUUUAUCAAAUAAAAAGGAGUUUUGGUCAUUCAUUUGAUCCACCUGUGUUGACACUGUCGUACGUUACAAAAGCUUUUGUCUUUUGUGACUCAGUUUAUUGUAAAUUUUCGUUCAGCCCCUUGUACUCUAUUUUAUUUAUAAGAAUUAUAAAAUUUUCUACUUACCUAUACUAUUAAAAUUCAAUUUAUCUCCUUACAAUCUUUUUCAUUUACUGUUUUUUUGUAGUAUUAAAAAGAGUUUCUAUUUACAAUCACAAUAUAUUAAUCAUCAUAACACACUAAUAUUAAUAAAAAGACAAAAGCAUCCUUAAAUUAAUACUAAAAAAUGCUUCCCUCUCUUGAGGAAUUAUGGUAUCUCAUCUUCCAUCACUCAUUACCAACAAAAUUUUCAAGGAUAUGACCAUUCAUCUUCUUUAUAAUACCAUCUUAGAAUAAUUAAUACUUUCAUGAUAAAAGAAUUAACAAAAUAAGGAUAAAUUCCCUUUGAAUCCAUCCCUCUCCACUAUCAUUUUCUCUUCAUUAGCAACCUUUAGCAACAAUUGAAGCCAUCAUCAGACUCAUCACACAGAGAGAGUGAGAGAGAGGAAGAAGAAACGAAAGUACGUUUACUCAACAUGAAUCGAAAUGAGUUGGAAUCAGAAUGAGUUAGAAUCAUAAUGAGCUAAAAUCGAAAUGAAGAAUUGAAACCAUAAUAAGUUAUUUUCUUGAACUAUAGGAAUCGUAAUUAGAAUGAAUUAUAUUACCAUUGAUGUGUUUACUUUGUCUUAGAAUCAAAAUCGUAAUGAAUUAAAUUGUAAUAAAUUACUAUAAAAUCUUUAAUUAAUUAUUAUCAUAAUUAUUAUUUUGUAUUUUAACUAUUGUAAUUAUUAUUAUCAUUAAAAAAUUAAUUAUUACUAAUAAAUAUUGUUAAUUAUUAUUAUUAUUAACAAUUCAACUCAAAAAUUAUUAUUAAUUAUUGUUAAUAUAUUAAUUAAUUAUAAUGCUUUUUAUUGUUAAUAAUAAUAAUAAUAAUAAUAAUAAUCCAUUUAAAAAAAAUAACAGUAAUAAUCAAAAUCAUCAUCAUCAUCAUCAUCACAAUAGCAACAACAAAUCGGAAUUGGUGGUGGCAUCAUGAAUCAUGAUCAACAGUGUCGACAUCAUCAUCAUCAUCAUCAUGAAGAUCCCCGGUGAAGACAAAGAUGACGGCGACGAGGAGAUGUGGAGAUAUGCUCUUUUAAGAUGGUGAGGAGAUGAUGGCGAGAUUGUUACUGCAGUGGGCUAAAUAACGGACGGUGAAGAUGUGGAGAUAUGCUCUUUUAACAAUGUUCAUAUUGAUGCUGGAUAUUUUGGCAGCUUGUCCCAAUUCCAGAUGUGAAUGCAAUGUUCACAUUACAUUUGUUCGCCUACCAUUUAAUUUUGAACCACAAAAUCUGUGUAAAGUAGUUCACGUUUCACACUUCCUUAGCAGUUAUCAUCAGCAUUCGUCUCCCAUAUUCUCAAGUUUAAAUCAUUGGAAAAUUGAGUUAAAACAUGAUAACAGAAUCUAAAAUUUAGUGGCAUGAAGGAACAGAAGCAAUAUCGAAUGUUUCAAAUCUACAGUAUAAUUUGCUUAGUUCCCUGAACAAGAUUGAAACUUCAAAUGAGAUCAAGCAGCAAAGUGUAGAUUGGAGGUCACAUGCUUGAUAUUUGAUGCUAUCAAAAACAAUUUGCAGUACUGAAAUUGAUGCUCUAAUAAAUUUUCACAGGGAUUUCUAUAUUUACCACAAAUCUUCAGAAGUGAAACAGGAUAAAAUCAUAAUGCGUCAUUUAAUUAGCAGAGGCAACAAAAAUCCUACAAAAAAAGGGUUUACAGAAAAAGAAAGCAAAAAAUUGUUACAACCUGCAAAAACCCAAAUAUUCUACUAGCCAAAUCUUAGUUUAUACUAAUACAUCAUUCCUUGUUUGUUACCCAACCGAAUUUCUCACAGAAAUCACAUUUCUUCAUCCGCCUCAACUCAUACAUCUUUUACUGUAGAUCACAAAUACUUUUUGAUAUGCUUGGCUUUACAACAACGAAUAAUUUUCCUUAAAUCUUUUCUAAUAGACAAGAAAGCACAAAAAUUGGCAUAGUUGGGUAGAUAUGUAAAUGUGAAAAUAAUUAUGGAAGUAAGUCAAUAACAAAGAAUUAUCGGAAAAGACGGAUUUGAAAAGCAAUGAGACAAAAUAUAAAGAAGAAGAAAUUGAAGAUAGGGUAGGGCUAUUGGCUCUCUAAAAUUUAUUUUGGACAUUGAUGUGGUCUUUAAAAAAAAUUAUAUAAUUUUAUUCUUAAGUUAUCUUUAUCUCUUUGAGUUGUUAUCAUAGUUCAUUUUGAUUAAAUAAAAGUAGUUGUUGUGUUUACAUAAUUCUAAUGAACAUGGGUUUUAUUAUGCUUUUAAUCUUGAGGUCCAACUUCUAUAAGAUAGUAUUUAAACUAGCAUCAAUAUCAAUAAUAGUAGACUGAAAUAUUUUGUUUAGAGAUUGAGUAGUUGUAUUGGGAGAUAUCUAGUCCCUCAAAGUACCAAAAAUAUAUUUAUUAAAGCUUAGAUUCCUCAAAUUAACCCAUUUAUCACUUAUUCUUUUUAUUUUGUUUGAUUUCCUAUUGCAAUAAUUUGUGUCUGUAAGACUAUAACAGACACUCACAUUUUAAUAGUUCUUUAUUUCACUAAAUUAACCUCAAUGUAAUUUACUAUUGAGGACAAUUUAAUAAAAUAUAGUUCAAUAAAUUUUUAUCCAACGUCUUAUUUUAUCUACAAUAAACUAGAUCAACGAUGAAGAAAUGAAUGAAAGUUCAUAUGAAAACGCUAUCUGUACUUAUGGACUAAACCUUUUUUAUUUUUUAUUUUUUAUUUUUUAUUUUUUAUUUUGUUAAUAGAAUUGCUAGGAAAACAUCAUGUAAUACGUUCCAUCUUUUGUUACAAAAGGAAUUAAAAACAGAGGUGGAGGAAGAACAAUAAAUUGCACCACUACAAUAUAUGAAAAAGGAAAGAAAUCAAAGGAUAAAAUUUGUUUUAAAUUUGCUUUCUGAUCUUCACUCUUAUCUAAUCCGCAUUCUUUCAUGGAUUUGAAAAACAAAAUUGAAUUGCGACAUUGAAGAGAAGAACAAACAUAUGUCAAACCAUAUUAUGAAAGCAAAAUAAAAGUUGAUAAAAAUGAAAAAAAGUUCAAAUAUUUUGUUUGUGAUGAUGAAUAUUUUAUUGGAUGUAAAGAGGAAAUAAGGUAAUUAAAAAAAUAGGUAAUGAGAACAAUAUAGGAAGUCGAAAAAUAUUCCAAAUAAAAAUUAAUAUUUUGAAAUUAUUAACUGAUAUUCAAAAUAAAUUUUAGAAUGCAAGUACCGCAUCGCUGCCCAUUUCUUUGAUGAACCCAUUAGAAACGGCUUUAAAAUUAUAGAAACUGUAAAACGCUGUAAAACUGUUAACUUUAAAAAGCUUGCUAUAGUCUUUAAACCUUUAAUAGUGCAAAGUCACAAGUCUUGCAGCUAAAACUAUGAGUUGUAUACUCUUUUUUUUAUAAUGUUACUAGAACUGUUAUUAUCUUAUGUCUAUGUACGUAUGUUUACAAUAUAUUUCAUAAAUUUACUGAGAUAAGUGCAGAAAUUUAAUCCAAAGUACAUCCAAUCUAUUGUCACUAACUCUAAGGCCCUAUUUAGUAUUUAGAUAAUGUAGUUAUUGUGAAAAAAUCCAGUAACUACAAAAUAAAAAUUAAUAAUAUAUAGUAAUAUGACUUGUAAAUAAUAAUUUAAAAAAUACUAAAGAAUUAUAAGUUUUUCAAAAUAAAAGUGGUGGAAUAAAUUAAUUUAGUUUUCAAGUAACAGCAAGUAAUGUUUACUUAAUAUAAAAAGCUAUAAUUGUCCAAUCUCAAUAAGAACCUGAGUAUUUUAGCAAAAAUAUACUUUUAUUUCAUAUUUUACCAAUAUCCUCACCAUUAUUCAGAGCACCAACCUUUAACUAUCUUCGAUUCUAUUUUUUGUUAUAACUUUUUAAGUAGAGCUUUUACUAAAAAAUAAUGGUUUGGUUAUCAAUGAGAAUUUUUAUUAAAAUUUAUAAAAUUACUUUAAUAGGUAAAUUUCUUAAAGUUAUGUUAUGAAAUGAAUUAAAUAAAAUUGUGAAAUAUAUAAAGCAUAUUUUAGACAAUAUAAUAUUUUAAAAAAACUUAACCUCUACUUCAAAAAACUUAAAAUUUAAACUUUUACUAAUAUAGAUAAAAUAACUUAUUUAAUUUUAAAAAAAAUUUACUCAAAUUUUAUAAAAAAAUAUUAAGUUUAAAAAAAGGUUAUAAGAUUAAAUAAAUAAAUUUGACCGAAUGUACACUAACUCUUAGAAAAUAAAUAUUUUGCACUACAGAGGUAAGGUUCAAUUAUGUUGCAACUGAGAUAUUGUACCAUAUAUAUUUUUUUUUUUUGGGAAAUUGCCAAUUUUCUCCCUACAGUAAUCAACAUAUACCACUUUUCUCUCUGUUGUUUUUAUAAUGGCCAAAAACCCCCCUGACAGCAUAAGUUUACAAUAUUACCCUUAUUUUCAACUACUCAUUUAUUUUCAUUUAUUAUAAAUUAAAUAAAUCACAUGAAUAGAAAUUAAAUAAAAAAUUAAGCAUUUAAAAUAAGAAAUAUAUGUUUUGAUAUGAGAAAAAAAUUAAUAAUUUUUUUCUUGUACUUAUUUAUUUUGUGAAAAUUUUCUUAAAAUAAAUAUAUAAGAAAGUUAUUAUAAAAUGAUAAAAAAACUUAUUAUAAGAAAAUUUGAAUGACAAAUAAAAAUUUAUUAUAAGAUAAAUAAUAAAAUAUUUUACCUAUAUUUUUUACAUUUAAUUUUAAAAUAUUACAAAAUGUUUAUUAUAAGAAAAUGUUCACAAAAUAAAUAAUUACAAAAAAAAUUUAUUAUUAAUUUUUUUGCUCAUAUCAAAACAUAUAUUUCUUAUUUUUAAUACUUAAUUUUUUUAUUUAGUUUCUAUUCAUAUAAUUUAUUUAAUUUAAAAUAAAUGUAAAUAAAAGAGUAAUUAAAAAUAAGAGUAAUAUUAUAAAUUUAUGUUGUCAGAGAAAUUUUUGAUCAUUAUAAAAAUAAUAAAAGAGUAAAUGAUAUAUGUUAAUUAUUAUAGCGGGGAAAGUGGCAAUCUCCUUUUUUAGUAUUUAACAAAGUUCUUGGGUGCUUCCCAGUUCAAUCCAGCGGCUGAAAUUAAUUAUUGGAUAAUUGAUGCAGCAACUGACAACCGUUGCAGCUGGUUGUAUAUUAAUUUAAUAGCAGUUCAACAUGCGUGGGUUCCGAAAAUUUCUUAGUCCUGAUUAGGGUUUCACUAAUUCCAUCUGAAAAUUGAUCUCGCAACAGCAAUUAAGACAUAAAAUUAGAAUUAGAGGAUCGCUUUUUUUUUUUGGGAAUUAAAAUUUCCCGAUGAUUCAUAUUCAUCGGGAAAUUUUUUUUGAAAAGAUUUAAAACUUGUAAUUAGCUUGCAAGAACACUGCGUUUGUUUAUGAGAAUCAGAGAAAGUGAGAUUGGUAACAAUGGUUCGGUAAUUUCAUUACAGCAAUGAGGCGGGGGCUCACAAACAGAAAGCUACCGAUUUAAAGAGCUACAAUCAAGCUUUAGAAGCCGAUGGUAACAUAGUUAGAACAAUAGAAUCUGAUAGCUUUAGGGAUUCAUAAGCUAUUUGUAAGUAUUUGUACUCCCUGACUAAAUAAUUUGGGAAUAUAAGGAUGCAGUAAGAGUUGAGUGGUCUUUACUCCCAUAGCAUUAUUUUUUUCUGUGGUCUUUAUUCCCAUAGCAUUAUUUUUUUCUCACUUCAUCAGUGCUCUGUUCAAUCUUUAUGUGCCGCUUGUUAUGUUCCUGCAUAUCUAAUUACUUUUGGAUGAUAGUUGAUAUUUGACAAAUUUGCAGGUUAAGGAUAUUAGAUGGGACGCAGAGCUUGGUAGUCAGAACAUGGAAUUACGGUUGGUUGAAUACUUUACAGAUGAGUUUAAUAAACAAGUUGGUAAUUGGGUGAAGUGAGGAAGUCUCCCAAGGCCAUGGCUGAACUGAAGAAGCAAGUUAAAUAUACAAAAGCAAUUCUUUGUGCGAACACAAUAGAACCAAUAUCAGUUAAAUCUCUCCACGAUGAUAGGGACUUCAGAUAGGUGGAGUUCAAGUUCAGAUUUUAUUGUUUGAGGUGCGUUUUAAGUUUAUUAACAAAAUUAAUGUGUUCUUUAAAUGAGUGAGGAACUGUAGAACAUGACAAGUAGAGUUUAUUGUGUGAGGGAUGCAUAUUCUCUUACAAGUGCUUUGUUCUUUAAUAUAGCACUAUAAGACAUCUUCUGAUGAAAAAUAGAGUCAAUAAAAUUACUCCAGACUGACUGGGCCCUUGGAUUCCAAUUCUUGCAUGAGAUAUCUUUUUCCUUUUAUUCUUUUUUCAAAUUUACUAGUGGUACUUUCAUUUGGUAAACUAUUCUAUAUAUAUAUAUAUAUAUAUAUAUAUAUAUAUACUCUAAUCAAUUAUAUUGGCUUAUUCUCCUUUUAUGUUGAUUCACACUGCUGGUAUAUAUAAAAUUUAUUUAUUAGUUUUGGUGAAAAUUUUGUUUUGUUGCACACGGAUAGUAAACCCAAAUACAUUCAUAUGCAUAUCUGGGGUUUGUUUUGUCUUUUAGGAGCAGCAUUACCUGUCAAAAGUUCAAAGAGCUCUAUGAACUUAAGCAUUCAGGGUUGAAAAUGGACAAGAUAUAUGCAGUGGAGUUCAUUGGAAGAGCUACUAUAGUGCCAAAGUUGCAGGUUUGCACCAUCCGCUUUGUUUUGGUAGUUAGCCCGAGUAUUAAAUUCUUGAGGCGUGUAAGGUAGUGGACUUUAGCCAAUUCAAGAGUAGAAUAUAAUAUGUUUACUUGUUUUGAUCUUAAUCUUUAAUCACUUACCCUGAAUAAGAAAUAAUUUUUUGUAUUUGCUCUGCUAUGAUGUUAUUCGGUGUUAAUAGCUUCGUUUUGUUGCUCUUUUCCGCACAGAUUCUUGAUCUCAAAAGAACUUUUAUUUUGAAUAUUCUACAUAAGGACAAUCUGAUUUAAUACCAUCAGUGAUUUUUCAUUUUUUCUCUUUAGUUUUAAUAUGUUUGAUAACUGUAUGGUUAAGCAAUCUAUGCAAUUUUAUCUUGUCGUAUGUUUGAGCUCAUUUUUUGAUGCAAUUCUGAAUAUUUGGUAUGAAUUAUGUGAUACCGGACAAUACUAUUAACUUGUUAAUUGCUUAAAUUUAAUAUAUUGUCAAAGUCACUAAUAGCAUUUCAUCAUGCAAUGAGUUAAACAUGGAACAAAUGAUGACAUGCGGUUGUGGAAUGUGUUAGAUCUCUGGGAUUCUAUGUCCUUAUGCUUGCAGGGCAAAACAAUACAUUCGUUAAAACAUUGAAGACUGUGAUGUCCACAGAAAAUUAUAUGUCAACUUAUGCACCAGACAUGAUGAAAUUAGCCAAAGACAGUGUUUGGAAGUGGCAAGCAAGUGACAAUUUGCUUCUACCAAUGACUUCAGAUCUCAAACCUGUUUCAAGCAAGGCCAGCAAUGACAUCAUGUUCAAAACAGUUUAGCCAGACACACCUGUUCACACCCCUCUACUACAUAUAACCUAGAGGUACAUUUUUUCUAUACGAUUGGCAUUAGGCUUAUCCAGUUCAAUACAGUAUUUCACAAAACUUAUACCAACUUAUUCCUAAUUAUAGUGGACACAAUUAACUUACUUUGGCAACUGUUCUGAAGAGGCUGACAUCAACUACCAGUGAUGACACUCUCUUGUAAUGUUUUGGUGCUAUCUACUAAAUACUACUACUACAUAAUAUUGACAAUUCGUCUGUGUGCAGGCCCGUGAUAACCAUUUAGAUCGACCAGAAACCAAUAAGAUAUUGUAAUCACAAGCAAUCACCCAUCUCUUUGGAUGGUGCUCUAUUGUGAUUCUUUCCUCUAUGACUGUUAAAUAAGCAAUGUAUUGCACUUUUGUUAUGCAAAAGUAUGGCGACCAUGUAUCAACUAGUGUAUCUAUUUUAUACACUAAUUAUGAAUUACUAGAAAUUUUAUUACAUUAAUCAUUUUUAGAUAGUUACUCAUCUCAAACGAAAUAAACUGUUCAGGGACACUUGACCCAACAUGCUUGUGACCGACCUUAGAAUAAAUUUUUGUCACUCAAUAUAGACAACUUCUACGAGGUUAAUAUUUCUUCAAAUUUCAACAAAAUCAUUGGCCACAGGAAUACAUACACAUGUUUCCUUUGGCAUGUUAAGUAGACGGGAGCAACAUGUGGGCUGUACGCCAUUACCUUAAACGAAGCAAAAUUAUCUUGUGUUUAUCAAAGUUUGAAACCAAUUCUGAGUUAAUUACAAAGAAUGUAUGAAUAACGCAUUAUACUCAUACACCAAACUUUAAUCUGAUGGAAUCAAGUAAUUCUAUGUUAAUCAAAGUUUUUAGACUUACAAGAUGAUGGUCAAGUUUAUAUAAAAGCAAAUAACACUGAAAUCUAAUCAUCCUAUACAAACAAAUAUGAUUUAUUCAAUUAUAGCAAACAAUUGUUUUAUCGGAGUUAAUUACAUUAUUGCUAAACUUGUAUAAGCUUUCCUGUUUCAAACAUGUCUACUUAAUUACAUUAUUCAUCGACAAUGUUACUUUGCCCGUGGAAGUUUCAUUUUUUCAUACCUUAAUCACUAUUUAACGCUUCGUUUUCCAAUAGUUCUAAUUCUUCAAAUUUUGGCUUUAUUAUUCCAUAAUUAUAAAUUGAUACUAAUUUGCAGGACUCAAAUUAAAGUGGUUAAUUACUCUAAAGUAUAAUUCUAGCAGUCAAUAAUUACAUAAAAAUAAUUGCAAAAAAAAGUUAAUAAGGAAUAGUAUAAAUUUAAAAACCGCCAAAGUUACGAGAUAUAUGCUUGAUAUUUAAAUCAUGGCCAUAAUAUAUAUAUAUAUAUAUAUAUAUAUAGAUAUAUAUUAUGUGAUUCAGUUCUUAAUUAACCAUUCUAUGAAUAAAUAUGAGAAUUAAGUACAUAUUAUGCCACAACCUUAUUGAAGUGUUCCCACUACAAUAUUAGUAGUCAACAUUAGGUCUAAACACCCACAUAAAUCCAAGGGAUCUAGAUCUACAAAUAUUAACCACUCUAUGAAUAAACAUGGGAAUGAAGUACAUAAUUGCCACGGCCAUAUUGGAAUGUUUCCACUACCAUAUUCGUGUGUCAAUGUUGCGUCUAAACAUUUAUAUACAUCCAAGCAAAUUUAUAUUUGUAAAUAAAUAUAAAUAUGGAAUGAAAAUAAUAGGUAGAAAAUAUAAAUUACAAACAUUAAACUUAAAAUACAGUUGAGAAAGUAAUUAAAUCCACAAUUUAGAUCCUUGAAUUUCACACUCAUCACCUUAGCUUAAAAAAUUAGCCACUCAUAUUAAUAAACAAAACAUUCAUUUUAUUUAAUAAAUUUGUAAAAGUAUAAUACAAAAAAAUUAAAAUAAAGAAGAAGAGCAAAAAAACAAUAUCUUCUUAUUAACUACACUUCUUCAUAAAAUUCACUCUAAAUUUACACUAAAUUUCUCUAGGAAACUCACCUCUAAAAUUCUACACCCCGAAUUAUCAAAUCUCUUGCCUCUAUAUAGGCAAAUUCUAGGUUGAUCAUGUGUGGGCAUUUAGAUGAUAUUUUUGGUGAACUUGCAACCACAACCUUUAGAUGACCUUUGAUAAUCCAAAUACAAGCCAAGGGGUCCAAAAUUGCAAGUAUUGACAUGCAUAAUAAAACCGUUGAUUCAACAUAAUCAAUGGUUAUAAUGAAGUCAAAUCUGGAUCCUCCGUUGGAUUUUUUUUUUAAUUCAAGGUGGUUGAACCACUAAAUUGAUAAGUAUUAAAUCUAGUGUAAAUAAGUGCAUGUGAACUUAGACACACGACACGAUAUCAGCUUUUCAAAAUUAAUAUUAGAUAAAACGGCUACCAAUUCUUUUAAAAGUUAAAAUUAUAAUUUUUACUUUUAUUUAAUAUAUACUUUCUAGUAUUAAUCAUUGAUGAACAAUUUUUUAUUUCAUCGCCGUCUAGAUUGCCUUUAUCUUACACAAAUUUGUUUAAAACCUUUAAAUAGUUUCUAACCACUACAUAAUUUUAUCUGUCGUCCUUAAUCUUGUUAUCCACAACUGACCAACAUAUUGUUACCUAUCAUUAUAGUUGUGUAAUUCACCUUUUGUUAACUGGUUUCCUAAUAUAUUUUAAAAGAAAUGUGGCCAUCUGUUGCUCGUUGGAUCACUUGCUUUUAAAUCCAAUAAUUCCGUGAGAUAAAGACAAAACGCUUGCUAUAGUGCUACAGUUACAACAUAGACGUGGCUGUAGAGGCAGGAAAAAAAUCUAUUUGUUUAGUUACUGUACACUUUUUCAUUCAUUUUGUCCACUGCCAAAUCUUCGAGAGAAACAACACAAAUAAAAAAAGAUUUUAAGAAAUUUGAUGCCUUGUUCGCCGAAUCUCUCCACUUUUAAUUAGUGUCGUGAUCCUGAUCGUGUGAUCUGGUGAUGGUAUGACAAUUACUUUGGAGAAAACACCGGCCCACUUUGAAUAAAAUAAAUUUUAUACCAAAUGAAUCAUAAGGCAAAACACUGCACUUACCUAUCCAUGCUGAUUAAACCCCCUCGCCGACACCUCUGCUCUCACCAUCAAGGCAUCAACACUUAAUAAUGACAAUUGGUUGUGUUAGCAUUUUGGUCAAAACGCUGGACCCCCCGGCCCCCACAAAAAACAAAAAAAAUUUAUGAUAAUAAUAACAUUCAUAAAUAAAAAUUAAUAAUGGGUGUGUUAGCAUUUUGGUCAAAAGCCGAUUUGGCCUUCACAUUAAUUGGAAUUUUGGAUCUAUAAUAUGAUUUUCACCGAAAAGAUAAUUUUGCCGCUAAUUAUUUGGGUAGUCAGAUAAUAAUAACAAAAAAAAAUGUUAUCUCUCACCUAUAACUUGAGGAGAUAAUAAUAAAAGUCUUUCAUCAUACUAUACUGUUUAGUUUCUCUUCUUCAUUUUUUUCCCCUUUGAAGUCUUUCAACAAAAAUGGGUGGCAUCAUCUCAACCUUCUUCUCAGCGGACACAAUUCGUCCAAUUUUAUUUUACGUCGGUGGACAAGCAAAGUAUAUAUGGGGUCUUAUAGGUAAUCUCGAUGACUUGCAAACUGAAAAGGAGAACUUGAUUGCAAAAAAACUAGAUCUACUGAAUAAGGUUAGGCUUGCUGAACAACAACCCCGAAACAGACGGACACCGACGGUGGAACUUUGGUUUAGAAGGGUGGAAGAAAUAGAAACUAAAGUUGAGAGGCUGCAACAAGAAAGAGAUCAAGAGAUUGACAGAUUGUGUCUUGGAGGCUUCUGUUCCAAGGACUUGAUUUCAAGCUACGACUUCGGCAAAAAGGUGGAGAAGUUGAAGGAAGAAGUAAUCAAAUUGUGGGAAAAAGGAGAAGCAAUGAAAGAAGUUUAUGAGGGGGUACCAGAAGGUGCAGCGGUUGCAAUGGCUGUUGACCGAACAAUUGUUGGUCAAGAAUCCAUACUUGACCAAGUUUGGAGAUGCAUCACUGAGCAAAAAAAGAAUAAUGGAAUUAUUGGCUUAUAUGGUAUGGGGGGCAUCGGCAAAACUACUCUGUUAAAACAAGUCAAUAACAAAUUCUGCAGUGAGGAGCAUGAUUUUGAUGUCGUUAUCUGGUCGGUUGUAUCUAGAGAGCCAAACUUGAUGCAGAUUCAAGAGGAUAUUGGGAAAAGGAUAGGCUUCUCAAAAAAUUCAUGGCAGGAUAAAAGUUUUGAAGAAAGGGCUUCAGACAUCACCAACACUUUAAAGCAUAAGAAGUUUGUAUUGUUAUUGGAUGAUAUAUGGGAGUCCGAAAUUGAUUUAACCAAAUUGGGCGUCCCUCUUCAGACACUAGAUUCUGGGUCCAGAAUAGUCUUCACAACUCGUUUUGAGGGUACUUGUAGUAAAAUGGGAGCCCAUAAGAAUCGGUACAAAGUGUUUUGUUUGGGAGACGACGAUGCCUGGAAAUUAUUUGAGGGGGUGGUCGGGAGAUACGUUCUUGACAAGCUUUCCGACUUUCCGACGCUAGCCAAGGAUAUGGCACGUCAGUGUCAUGGUUUGCCGUUAGCACUCAAAACAGUAGGCAAUGCCAUGGCGAGCAAAGUGUACCCUGAAGAAUGGAAAGAAGCAAUUGAGAUCCUAAGCGCAUCAGCUUCUAAAUUCGAAGGUAUGGAGAAAAAGGUGCUUUCGAGCUUAAAGUUCAGCUAUGAUAGUUUGCCGAAAGAUGAACUUCGAUCUUGUCUCCUGUACUGUUGUUUAUUUCCCGAAGACUAUGAAAUUGAAAAAACCGACUUGAUGGAGUAUUGGAAAAGUGAAGGAUUUCUGGAUUCCAGCAGCGGGUGGGGGGUUCUUGGUGCUCUCGUUCGUGCAUGCUUAUUGGAGGAAGGAGGUGACCAUGUAAAAAUGCACGAUAUGAUCCGUGACAUGGCAUUAUGGAUAGCAAAUGAAAUAGAGGAGGAGGAGGAGAACUUUUUGGUUCGUGCAGGAGUUGGAUUAACUGAAGCCCCAAAGAUUGAAGAAUGGGAAGGGGUCAAAAGGAUAUCUUUGAUAGAUAAUGAAAUUCGGAGUCUACCAGAAAUUCCCACUUGUCCGCGCCUGCAAACAUUGCUUCUGGAAUAUAAUUGUAUUAAGGAGAUCACGGACAUUUUCUUUCAAUCCUUGCCUUCGCUUAGAGUUUUGAAUCUAAGUGGAAAUGAUUCCCUAACUGAACUGCCUGUAGGGAUUUCAAGUUUGGUUUCAUUACACCAUCUUGAUCUGUCUUGGACUGAAGUGCGCGGAUUGCCGCAAGAGCUCAAGGCAUUGGUGAAUCUGAGAUAUUUGAACUUGGAGUAUACAUAUGAAAUGCGUAAAAUUCCACAGCAGCUGAUAUCAAGCUUUUUAAAGUUACAGGUACUCAGGAUGCUGUGUUGCGGUCAAAGUCACCAGCCAAUAGUGGAAGAAGGCAACGUUCUAUCUGAUGAUGCUGAAUCAUUGAUGAAGGAAAUCCACUGUUUGGAACAAUUAAAUCUCAUCACCUUGUCCUUACAUGGUUCGCGUGGUGUUGAAAACUUUCUGAAAUUCCCAAAGCUGCAGAAUAUCACUCAAGCUCUGCACAUCAAAGACUGCAACAGUCUACCGCUCAAUUUGUUGCAUCUAGCAAACAUGGAGCAUCUUGAGGAGUUAGAUAUCGAGGAUAGUAAUUUGGAAGACUGGAAUGUCGACUGCGCGGGAGAGGUACAAAAAAUGCGUAAACUUCACUCGGUUGCCAUACGGAAUUGCUCAAAUGUGAAGGACUUGACGUGGCUUGUUUUUGUUCCAAAUCUCAAGUGGCUGCAAAUAUUUCAUUGUGAUGACAUGGAAGAAAUAAUCAGUGUUGAAAAAUUGAGUGAAGUUUCAGAGAUGAUGGGAGGGCUUAACUUGUUCGCAAAACUCGAACUUCUGAUAAUAAAAAAUGCAAGUAAUUUGGAGCGCAUCUACCGCGAUCCCUUGCCCUUUCCACAGCUGGAGACAAUUUCCAUAUCGCUAUGCCCAAAGUUGAAGAAGCUCCCGCUCAAUUCCAGCAGCGCAAAGGGACGUAAAAUUGCCAUUUACGGGGAGAGAAAAUGGUGGGAAGAGCUACAAUGGGAGGAUCAAGCCACUCAAAAUGCUUUCUCGCCCUGUUUCCUACCUUUAAGAAUAAUGAAGUACAAUAAGGAGCAAGAGUGUGAAUAAAAUUCCUGCGUGUGCUUAAUGAUUAUCUUGUCUAUCCAUUUCAUUUAAUUUAAAAGCUUUCUACGGUGUUGCGUGUGUGUCACUUGUCAUUCUUCUGCACUGCUGUUUCCUAUUUCCAGUUGAUAAAAUUUUUUUGUUCUUAGAAAUGCUUUGCUGGUAAUAUAUUCUAUUUACUUUCCUCCUAUUUUCAUUACAGCUAAUAAUUGCAUAGUUGUAUAAUUUUUUAAUAUUAUCUUUAUUUUUAAAUAUACUUUUAUUUAUAUUUAUUAUAAAUUAAAUAAAUGUAUGAAUAGAAAUUAAAAUGAAAACUAAGUAUUAAAACAAGAAAUAUAUAUUUUGAUUUGAAUAAAAAUAUAAAUAUUUGUUUGUACUUUUUUUAUAUAUAUUCAUUAUAAGAAAAUAUUUAUAAAAUAAAAAGUGUAAGAAAAAUAUCUUAUUAUUAAUUUUUAUUCACAUCAAAACAUAUAUUUCUUACUUUAAAUACUUAAUUUUUUAUUCAAAUUAUCAUUCAUAUGAUUUAUUUAAUUUAUAAUACAUAUAAAUAAAAAUAAUAUUGUAAAUUAUGUUGUUAGAAAUUAUUAGUUAUUAUAAAAAUAAUAUGGGAUAAAUGGUAAAUCGGAGAUAUUGUUUCCUAUUUUCAGCUAAAAAAUUUAUUUGUUCUAAUAAUUGCUUUGCUAGUAAUAAGGCCUGCAAGUUGCUUAACUGAAUAUGACUUCUUUUUUAAAAAUGUUACUAUCAAUUUCGAUGAUUGAUUAUCUCGAAGUAGUGAAAUUUAUGUAAUGUUGGUAUUAAAAAAAUUUGUGCUACUGAUAAAAAAAAGUCCAUUAGAUUCGGCCUAAAUGACGGAUCGUGGCUUGAUUUUCUCAUCCCAAAGGCUCUGUAUCUCACUUUCGAAAGUAGUUUUAGCAUAAUGUAGGUGAAAAAUUAAAAUAUUCUGCGAUCUCUAUAUAGCUUUUCCAACAGAUUUCACCCAUUUGACUGUAGACCAAAGCAUCCAUUGGAUCGAUGCAUUUAUUAAGAAGAGGAUCAUUCGGAGCUACAAUUGGAGGAUCGAGUCACGCAAAGAGUUUUCUCUACUUGUUUCGAUCCUAUGGAGAUAGAGUUUUCAUAGAUUGAUGGUAGGAGCUUUUUUGUCAAUUUAUGUAUCUAAUUGUGUUUAACAUGCUUUCUUGUCUUUCAUAUCAGACAUUGUAAAUUUGUGAUGUUGCCAUUUUCUUUUUCCUAUCAAGAAAGAAAGAGCAUUGCGAGUAGUCUUUCCAAUUUUCACUCCUUUUUGGUAUGUGAAGAAAAAUAAUAAAGCAAAACAAACUAGUGUUGGAGAAAAAGAAAAUGACAAGUUCAAUAGGGCAAAAGUUCAUCAUCCCUUUACCAUUUGCUCAAGCAAGUAAGCUUUACGUUUACUUCUUGAGAUUUGAACUAACCAGACAACUUGUAAUGUUACCAUAAAGUUCAAAGAUUAGAAGAGAAAAACUUAUGUCUGUUAGGCACUAUUAUUCAGGCUUAAAUAAUAACAAUAAAAUACUACACCAUGUCUGCUCUCUUUUACUUUUCUUGGUUCUGUUGUAAAAUUCAGUUCUAUUUGAAGGAAAUUAUUAACAUCAAAACUAAAUACUUCGUGAGCAUCUACUGACAACAUACUCCAGAUGACACCAUAACCAUAUCAUAUAAAGCAAGAAAUGUGAAAUAAAUACAAAAUGAAUCAUAGGAGGGAAUUACCACACUCUGCGGUCUCUCCUGCUAAACCCUGCAGUUAGAAUGCCAUUUGUCGUGAGCACCCGAAUCCCCAAAGGACUCCCAGCUUCAGGUGGCUUUGACUUAGCUUGCUUUAGCUCCAUUGCACAUACUCACUCACAUGAAGGAAAUGAACAGAACAAGAAACCUCAUCAUGCCGAAUAUGAUAGAUAUGACAAGGCAUUACACUGUAGGAAGCUCCCGAUUUCUCUACAAAACUCUGCAGGUUCUCCACAAUCAAGGCGUGCUCCAUCUUUAACAGAUCACUUCUACCAUUAAGAGAAGGAAGAGAGUUCCUCUCGUGUGGCAGUAAAUCCUUACUUAACACAGGAUUGAAGCCAACCAAGAACGGAAGGCAAUUUCGUUAGAUUAAGAACCGAAUCACCAUCCAUUUGAACCAGAACUCUUGUUAAAUUCUUGAAAUCUCCUGCUUUCAUCAGUCUGUAAGAGAAAUGAAGAUGAGAAUAAUAGCCAGAACCGGAUUAAAUUCAAUCUGGUCUUUUGAAGACUUCUAUAACAACUAAGAGAACCCAGUGUACCGCCUACAGAUACUGCCAGGCUUCUAUCAAAUAUCCCAAACACCAAAAACCAACCAAAUUAAGCUAACAAACCUGCAUGAAUAUCUAAAUUUCAAUGCACAUGAAACAAACUCCGUCUUCAAUCCACCAAAACUAGCAAAUUUCAAACUUUAUCACUCAUCAUUCUCUCUCUGUCAGCUGUACGAGGCUAUGAGAUCAUGUUAUAAUGUUCAUAUUGAUGCUGAAUGUUUUGCCAGCUUGUCUGAAUUCCAUAAGAGAAUGCAAUGUGCACAUUAUUGUGCCUUGCCCACCAGUAGAUUCUAAACCACAAAAUCAUUCUGUGAAGUAGCUGACGUUUCGCACAUUCUUAUCCCUUAUCAUCAAUAUUCUUCUCCUCAAGCUUAGAUCAUGGAAAUUUGAGUGACAAACAUGAUAACAUCGUAACACCAUCAAAACUUUAGGGGCAUAAAGUAACAUAGAAGCAACAUGGGAUGUUUUAAAAUCUAUUAUAAUUUGCUUAGGCCCCUGAAUAAAAUUAAAACUUGUAAUGAAAUAAAGUAGCAAAAUAAAGAUUGGAGGUCGCAUGCUUGAUAUUUGAUGCUGUCAAAAUUAAUUUGCAGUGCUGAAAUUGCUGCUCCAAUAAAUUUUUCAAUGGGAUUUCUAUAUUUACAACAAAUUUUCAGUAUUGAAACAGGAUUAAAAUCAUAAAGUGUCUUUUAAACAGCAGAGGCAACAAGAUCCUACAGAAAAAGAAGGCAAAAAGUAGUUACAAGCUACAGAAACGCAAAUAUUCUACUGGCCAACUCCCACUAAAUUCGAAGCGAUUCUAAAAUCUCAGCUUGUACUACGACAUCAUUCCUUCUAUGUGGCCCAACUGUACUUCACCCAGAAAUCACAUUUCUUCAUCAGAGAUAAUUUUACUUCUAAUAAGAGAGAAUUUUUUAUAUGCAUGGCUUUACAGUAAUGAAUAAUUUUCCUUAAAUCUUUUCUAACAGACAAGAAAGCACAAAGCACAAAAAUUGAUAUAAACAACUUUUCUCGAAGCUUUUUCAUAAGAAAACCUGAACAUGAUUGCUUCUCUUAGAAGGCCCCCUAGCUUCCUGCAAGAACCUUGUGCCCCCAAAAAAAACAAAGGAUUAUAAUUAGGCAUAAGGCUCCCAAUGUUCUUGCAGGAAUUAUGAUGAAUAUGAGAGUUUCAAAAAAGAAAAAAAAAUAUUACGACAACCUCUAGGCGGAGGAAAUCAGUUUUCUAGGAAUUCGUUAGAUUGGUGAAGUUAUAGAACCGCAGCAAUUUGCUGUAGUUUGGAAUGUUUUUGCCUUUCAUUAUAGCAUUUGAAAAGGCUCAAGGAUAUAGAAGAACCUUGGCUACAAAUUCAGGGAAGAUUUCACUUAUAAUGAGAAAUAAUCACCAUUAUUAUAUACAAUGAGAAAACAGUUAUGGAAGAAAUAGAAAGAAUUACCCGAAACGGAGGAUUUGGAAGACAAUGAGACAAAAGUAUAAAGAAGAAGAAAUUGGAGAUAUAAUGACUGCCUAUUUCUUUGAUGAACCCAUCAAAAACGGCUUGAAAAUUAAAGAAAUUGUAAAAUGCUGUAACGGAGGAAUUGAAACUGUAAAAGAUGCAAGUUAAUUCAUGGGGCUGGCCAUCUUGAUUGAUUGAACACCUAUUAGAUUUUUAAUAUUAAAGAACUCACUUUAAUGAUGUUUAAUUGGUAGUAGCCCUUUAUAGUCUUUAAACCUUUAGCAGUGCAAAGUCACAAGCUUUGUCCAGAAUCUAAUGGCGUAGAUUAUAGGCGAUGGGUGCCAUCACCUGGGCAACGACGUACAUCGCUUGGGCGACAAGCCAAUUUACUAGGCUCAUCGCAAACAGCCUUCGUCGCCUGGGCGAUGGCCAAAUCCAUCCAAUAAACUUUCAGCUCAUGUUUGAUAGUCUAAAAAAAGUAGUUAUGGUGGCCAUCACACAUCACAUUUUACUGACAAGCUGUCUUAAUUUUCAUAGAAAAUUGUUCCUACUGAUUUUCCAAUACUGGCCUAAUACUUGCAGAUUAUUAAACGAUUAUGGAAUGGCAGCAAACCGGCGCCGCAGGGGGGGGCCGGCCGGGGUUGUUGUGCCAAUUUGGGAGGGGUAAUAAACCCUCUGAGGCAAUUUAGCAAACAUAUUAUCCACUUCCAAAUAAAACAGAUUCUAGUAAAUGCGAUAAAGAAAUGUUUAUUUCAAUUUCCAACCCAGAUCUCAUAAAGAAUUUCUCACUCUAAUAAACAAAUAAAUAUUAUCUGGUAAUGGUAUGACAUUUAUUUUGAAGUAAACACUGGCCCACUAUUUUCUCAAUUUUCCAUUGUUUGAGGACACCAUUUUCUCAAUUGAAGAACAUGUUCUGGCCAAAAUUCACAAUUUUCUCCACGUGAUUUAAAGCACACAGGAUUCACACUUUUCUCCACGUGAUUUAAAAGCACACAGAAUUCUCCUGACCUUAAUUACGGAUCUUAUUAUGUUUAUUGAAAUCCAAUAUUGUAGACUCAUUGUUGUAGCUAGAAAAUCAUAUUAAUAGAGUAAAAUUUAUAAAUAAUCAAAGAAAAGAGUUCACGCUCUUACUUCAUUACUUUUAUAAUCUUAUUAGUAUAUCUACUUACAUGUCUUCAGAAAAUACAGUUUUAAGAGGAUAUUUUUAUUUUUCUUCGUAAUAAUAGAUUUAAUUUUCAUCUUUCUAAUGUUAAGUUGCAUAUUUGGAGUAAAUAAGAUUAAAUUUCAAAUUAGAUCACAGACCCCAUUUUAAUAGAUUCAAUUGGAUUUUGGACAUCUAAUUAAACAACUGGACUAAUAAAUUGCAAAUGAAUGAGAUUUAUAUGUGAUUUUAAAAUAAAAUUUGAACUCAAAUCUAUGUAUUUAAUUAAUCCAACAGGACAAAUUUAUAAUUUUCACCAACUAAAUAAAAUAUGUUAUCAGAAGCUUUUGGACCAAGUCGCGCACUUCGUGGGUCUGCUACUACUUAUAGUCCAUUCUCAUUCAACUUUCACAUCUUUUAUAUUAUGUACAAAUUGGAUAAUAUUCUAAAAAAGUGUUUCUAAUUGUUUAACGUUUUAUUUCUGGGUAUAUUUAGAGAUUAAAAAAUAUGGGAAACAUAAUUAAUUUUAUCAAAUAAAAAGGAGUAUUGUUCAUUUUUUCAUAAACAAUGUGUUAAAAUACUUUUGGUAUUUAAGAAGUAAAAAUUUUUAUUUUUGUUUCAUAAAAAGCAUUCAAAAUUAUAUUAAAUAAAAUUAAAGAUUAACAAAACUGACAUCUGAAUUUCGUGCAAAUUAUAAUAAGUUUAUCUCCAGCGUGAGUAACAUUAAAGCUUGGCUAGCAUCAUCAUAUUUUGUCUCCAGCAUCAAAAUUCUGAUAACAUCAACAUCAUAAUUCCAAGGUUGUCAAAACUAAUUAUCAAAUUAAAAUCCUUUGUGAUUUAAGCUCUCUUGGACUUUUAAAAAUGUUAUGCCACCCCUUCUUUAAUAAUAGUAGUAUAUGAUUAUGAUUUAAUUAUUUUAUUUUUUAAUUUAUCAAACACCAAUCACUUAAAUUAAACUCAAGAAAAAAAUUAGAACAUCAAAGAAUUUUAAUUGCUUCUUAUUAAGUACUAGAAUUAACUUCUCCCAAUGAUAAUUUAUUAAGCAAACCAUAAUGAUCAUCUUACACUAAAGAACCAACCCAUCUUCAAAACACAAGAAUUUAGUACAAAUAAUUAUCCCAAUAAAGUUUAACGAAAAAGAAAAGAGAUAUUUUUAUUAUUUCUUUUACUUUCUUAGUGGCUCUGCUACUACCUAUAGUCCAUUCUUAUUCAACAUACAGAUCUUUUAUAUUAUAUGCAAAUUAAAAUAUAUUCUAAAAAGUGUAUCCAACUGGUUAACAUAUUAUUUCUAGAUAAUAAUCAAUUUUAUCAAAUAAAAAGGAGUUUUGGUCAUUCAUUUGGCUCCGUUGCCACUGUUGUACGCUACAAGAGCUUUUGUCUUUGCUGACUCAGUUACUGUAAAAUGUCGUUCAGCCCCUUAUACUCUAUUUUAUUUAUAAGAAUUAUAAAAAUUUCUAAUUACCUACACUUUCAAAAUUCAAUUUAUCUCCUUACAAUCUUUUUCAUUUACUUUUUUUUGUAAGUAUUAAAAAGUUUCUAUUUACAACCACGACAUAGUAAUCAUCAUAACACACGAAUAUUUAUAAAAAUAUAAAAAUAUCAUUAAAUUAAUACUAAAAAAUGUUUUCCUCUCUUGAGGAAUUAUGGUAUCUCAUUUUCGAUCACUCAUUAUCAACAAAAUUUUCAAAGAUAUGACCAUUCGUCUUCUUUAUAAUAUCAUCUUAUAAUAAUUAAUACUUUCAUGAUUAAAAAAAUUAACAAAAUAAAGAUAAAUUCCCUUUGAAUCCAUCCCUCUCUACUAUCAUUUUCUCUUCAUUAGCAACAUUUAUCAAUAAUUGAAGCCACCAUCAGACUCAUCACACAGAGAGAGUGAGAAAGGGGAAGAAGAAACGGGAAAAAAAAAUAUAUGAGACAUUUACAAUUUUAUAGUAUGUUUAUUCAACGAGAUUCAUAUAUAGUUGCUAAGGGGUUUCAUUAGACAUAGGGAGUUUAUUACACUGAAACUUUUAAUCCAGUAGUUAAGGCCUCAACAAUCAGAGUUAUUCUUAGCCUAGCAGUACUUAACAAGUGGAUAAUCAGACAAGUGGAUAUUAAUAAUGCCUUAAUGGCAUUCCAGUUGAAGAAGUUUACAUGGCACAACCUGAGGGAUUGGUGGAUCCUACUAAACCCCAACACAUCUGCAAAUUAAAAAGGACUAUAUAUGGCUUGAAGCAAGCUCUCGGGGCUUGGUUUGAUAGAUUCAAAGCUGCAAUGAUUACUCAAUGACAUUUUCAACACUCAAAAUCAGAUAAAAAAUAUCAAAAUAUUUAUAUCAUUAAACUUUUAGGCCUAAUUAACUAAUUAAAGUUCUAAAUUUUUAUUUAGGACAUUAAAAAGACCGGAUAGAUUCUAUUAGCCCAAAAAUUUUGUUUUAAUUUUAAUAUCUAUUAAAUAUUUUAAACUUAAAUCUAUUUUUUAUUUAUUUUUAGAUGUUAUAAUUGCCCACAGCGAAUCACAAUUUUAAUAUCUAAUCUAAUUUAAUCUAAUAUUUGCUCUUGAUUUGCUCUUACUUAACUAUUGUGCUGUAAAGGGAAUAGUCCACAUUUAUAAAGUGCCCACGCCACCAUUGAAAAAGUUAAUUUUGAAUCUAAAUUUGAUUUUAUUUGUAACAAUUUUGUAUUAGACUAUUAAUUUAUUUAUGAUAGUUUGUAAAAGAAGUUUGUAUCCCUUGCAUGCUGCAUUACUUACUAAUUUAAUGUAUGUGACUUUUGUAAUGGAUAUUAAUGCAAGAUAUUUUUCGAACUUUACUUUUAUUUUAAUAUGAUUAACUCAAAUCGAAAACAAAAAAAUGUAUUAAUUAUUCGGGAAUCGGGGACCCUCAAGGAUCCCCUAUUAUUAUUCGGGGAGGAGAUAGAGAUUCUCUUAAGUAAUUCUGACGGGGACGGGAAGGGGAUGAGGACAUACACAAAAUAUUGGGGAUGGUUACGGGGAGAUUGGUCCCCUCCCCUCCCCUCCCCAUUGCCAUCCCUAACUCCCUGACUAAAUAAUUUGGGAAUAUAAGGAUGCAAUAAGAAUUGAGUGGUCUUUAUUCCCAUAGCUUUAUUUUUUUCUCGCUUCAUCCGUGCUCUAUUCAAUCUUUAUGUGUCGCUUGUGUUAUGUUCCUGCGUAUCUAAUUACUUUUAGAUGCUAGUUGAUAUUUGACAAUUUUGCAGGUUAAGGAUAUUAGAUGGGACGCAGAACUUGGCAGUCAGAACAUGGAAUUACGGUUGGUUGAAUACUUUGCAGAAGAGUUUAAUAAACAAGUUGGUAAUUGGGUGAUGUGAGGAAAUCUCCCAAGGCCAUGGCUGAACUGAAGAAGCAAGUUAAUUAAACAAAAAUAAUUCUUUGUACGAACACAAUGGAACCAAUAUCAGUUAAAUCUCUCCAUGAUGAUAGGGGCUUCAGGUAGGUGGAGUUCAAGUUCAGAUUUUACUGUUUGAGGUGUGUUUAAUUUUAUUAUCAAAAUUAAUGUGUUCUUUAAAUGGGUGAGGAACUGCAGAACAUGACAAAUAGAGUUUGUUGUGUGAGGGUGAGGAACUGCAUAUUCUCUUACGAGUGCUUUGUUCUUUAAUAUAGCACUAUAAGACAUCUUCUGAUGAAAAAUAGAGUCAAUAAAAUGACUCCAGACUGACUGAGCUGAUACAUUUUUUAUUCCAAUUCUUACAAGAGAUUUUUUCUUUCUUUUUUUUUUUCAAGUUUACUAGUGGUACUUUCAUUUGGUAAAUUAUUCUAUAUAUAUAUAUAUACUCUAAUCAAUUAUAUUGGCUUAUUUUACUUUUAUUUUGAAUCACGCUGCUGGUAUAUAUAAAAUUUAUUUAUUAAUUUUGGUGAAAAUUUUGUUCUGUUGCACACAGAUAAUAAACCCAAAUACAUUCACAUGCAUAUAUGGGGUUUGUUUUGUCUCUUAGGAGCAGCAUUACCUGUCAAAAGCUCGAAGAGCUCUAUGAACUUAUGCAUUCAGGGUUGAAAAUGGACGAGAUAUAUGCAGUGGAGUUCAUUGGAGGAGCUACUGUAGUGCCAAAGUUGCAGGUUUGAACUAUCUGCUUUGUUUUGGUAGUUAACCCGAGUAUUAAAUUCUUGAGGCAUGUAAGGUAGUAGACUUUAGCCAAUUCAAGAGUAGAAUAUAAUAUGUUUACUUGUUUUGAUCUUAAUCUUUAAUCACUUAGCCUGAAUAAGAAAUAAUUUUUUUAUAUUUGCUCUGCAAUGAUGUUAUUCAGUGUUAAUAGCUUUGUUACUCUUUUCCGCACAGAUUCUUGAUCUCAAAAGAACUUUUAUUUUGAAUAUUCUGCAUAAGGACAAUCUCAUUUAAUACCAUCAGUGAUUUUUCAUUUUUUUCUCUUUAGUUUUAAUAUGUUUGAUAACUGUAUGGCUAAGCAAUCUAUGCAAUUUUAUCUUGUCGUAUGUUUGAGCUCAUUUUUUGUUGCAAUUCUGAAUAUUUGGUAUGAAUUAUGUGAUACCGGACAAUACUGUUAACUUGUUAAUUUCUUAAUUUUAAUAUCUUGUCAAAGUCACUAAUAGCAUUUCAUCAUGCUAUGAGUUAAACAUGGAACAAAUGACGACAUGCAGUUGUGGAAUGUGGUAGAUCUCUGGAAUUCUAUGUCCUUAUGCUUGCAGGGCAACACAAUACAUUAGUUAAAACAUUAAAGACUAUGAUGUCCGCAGAAAAUUAUAUGUCAACAUAUGCACCAGGCAUGAUGAAAUUAGCCAAAGACAGUGCUUGGAAGUGGCAAGCAAGUGACAAUUUGCUCUACCAAUGACUUCAGAUCUCAAACCUGUUUCAGGCAAGGCCAGCAAUGACAUCAUGUUCAAAACAGUUUAGCCAGACACACCUGUUCACACCCCUCUACUACAUAUAACCUAUAGGUACUUGUUUUCUUUACAUUCUUUCUAUACGAUUGGCAUUAGGCUUAUCAAGUUCAAUUCGGUAUUUCACAAAACUUAUACUAACUUAUUCCUGAUUAUAGUGGACACAAUUAACUAACUUUGGCAACUGUUCUGAAGAGGAUGACUUCUUCAGGAUGACAUCAACUACCAGCGAUGAUACUAUCUGUAAGCUGCUUCUGAUAUCUACUAAAUAUUACUGCUAAACUUAAUAUUGACAAUUCGUUUGUGUGCAAGCCUGUGAUAACCACUUGGAUCGGAUAAAGGACUGGGACAUCAACAAUUUUCCCCGAAACCAAUAAGAUAUCAUUGUAAUGUUUAAUUAUACAUGUAUUGGUUUCUCUUUGGAUGGUGCUCUAUUGUGAUUCUUUCCUCUAUGACUCUUAAAUAAGCAACGUAUUGCCCUUUUGUUAUGCAAAAGUAUGGCGACUAUGUAUCAACCAGUGUAUCCAUUAUAUACACUAACUAUGAAUUACUAGAAAUUUUAUUACAUUAAUCAUUUUUAGAUAGCUUCUCAUCUCAAACGAAAUAAACUGUUUAGGGACACUUGACCCAACAUGCUUGUGACCGACCUUAGAAUAAAUUUUUGUCACUCAAUAUAGACAACUUCUACGAGGUUAAUAUUUCUUCAAAUUUCAACAAAAUCAUUGGCCACAGGAAUACAUACACAUGUUUUCGUUGGCAUGUUAAGUAGACGGGAACAACAUGUGGGCUAUGUACGCCAUUACCUUAAACGAAGCAAAAUUAUCUUGUGUUUAUCAAAGUUUGAAACUAAUUAUGUGCUUACAAAGAAUGUAUGAAUAACGCAUUAUACUCAUACACCAAACUUUAAUCUGAUGGAAUCAAGUAAUUCUGUGUUAAUCAAAGUUUUUAGACUUACAAGAUGAGGGUGAAGUUUAUAUAAAAGCAAAUAACACUGAAAUCUAAUCAUCCUAUACAAACAAAUAUGAUUUAUUCAAUUAUAGCAAACAAUUGUUUUAUCGGAGUUAAUUACAUUAUUGCUAAACUUGUAUAAGCUUUCCUGUUUCAAACAUAUCUACUUAAUUACAUUAUUCAUCGACAAUGUUACUUUGCCUGUGGAAGUUUCAUUUUUUCAUACCUUAAUCACUAUUUAAUGCUUCGUUUUCCAAUAGUUCUAAUUCUUCAAAUUUCGGUUUUAUUCUUCCAUAAUUAUAAAUUGACAUUGAUUCGCACGACUCAAAUUAAAGUGGUUAAUUACUCUAAAAGUAUAAAUCUGGCAGUCAAUAAUUACAUAAAAAAAUUGCAAAAAAAAAAGUUGAUAAGGAAUAGUAUAAAUUUAAAAUCCGCUAAGAUUAUGAGAUCCAUGCUUGAUAUUUAAAUCAUGGCCAUAACAUUUAUAUAUAUACACUUGUUUUAAUAUUAUGUGACUUAGUUUUUAAUUAACCACUCAAUGAAUAAAAAUGAGAAUUAAGUAUAUAUUAUGCCACAACUUUAUUAGAGUGUUCCCACUAUUAUAUUAGUAGUCAACAUUAGGUCUAAAAAGGGCUAAACGAAUGUUAAAUUAUGUUGAAGAGAUCAAGGUAGGCUAGCAUUUCAAUGUUAGUUACACUUCAAUUAUUUUUUUGCUAAUAAUGGUUGGGUUUUAUGCUUUGGUUGAAUUAAAUAAUUAGCUCUUGAUUGCGGUCUAUACACGCAGGUCGACGAUGCUUCCUAGGCCAAGAAAUAAUUACGGCAACUGUUGACCGAAUUCAUUAAUUGAUUGGACUAUGAACUCAUAAUUCAAGAAACAUAUUAUAAAUCAGACGCUGAUUUCAGAGAUUCAUUGAUCUAAGAACAUACAUACAAAAUAUAGCCUGUGACAAAGAAACAAGUCCGUAAUGAAGCAUCAAGCUAAACAUAUUUUAUAUGAUUAUCGUUUUGGUGAUUUGACAAUUUGGUUAUUGAUUUUGUUUAGGCAUGACUGUAUGAGAAAAUCAACGCAACUGUUGAAUUGACGAUAUUCAAUUGUCUAUUUCCUAUAAUUCUUUUCGAGUGUACCGUAAAACUGUUUGAAAAGAAAUAGAGAUAAAUCUUCGGCAUUUAAUAGCGUGGGGGGGAAUUUUUUGGAAAUGAGCAUGGUUUUUACGCAGAAGAUGACACGAACAAGUCGUCGGCAUAGGCCCAUACUUUGUUGUCGUUUAAAAGUGAUGUAUGUGAUUUCAAAGAUCGACACGUCGUUUGCAAAAUUGCCAAAUGCCGCGUACGUGACUCGCUGUCUAUACAUCAAGUUCAAGACUGUGAAUUGUUUUCUUGUUGAUAAUGAGAAAUAAUCCAAAUGGGUAGAUAAAAAAUUUCCAAUCAACGAGCAAUAUACGGCAAAGAGAACCAUUUAUAAAUAUAUGGAACUUAAUGAAAGAAAGGAAUCCAAUCACUCCAAAAUCUUACAUCUCCUUCAACAGAUUGAAAAGCAAGUGUGAACGAACGAACCAAGCAAAAACAAAAUUAUUUCACUUUGGCACUCUAGCCAAGCUUGACCGAAAUAAAAAAGGCGAGCGUUUUAUUGCACAGAAUGGCUCAUUCCUCGUGUCAUGUGGGCCUGACGAGGCAGCUGCGUGCACCACGCAUCAUGUCUCUGCCUCUCCGCGGAUCAAAAGCAAACAGCAUCAAAAAGCACUUUCAAACAAAAACCAGAAUUGUCUAGUCUAAAAACUUUGCAGAGAUAAAAUUAUUGUAUAAUCAAAAUGGUAGUUGUAAGUAACGUACACUGAUCAAUCAUAUAAAAAGCUUUUGAAAUUAAGCCGUAAGAGUGUGUGAUGAGACUGAUUAUUAAUUAUUGGAGUGUUCCCACUACUCAUAUUAGUAAAUAAAACACUCAUUUUAUUUAAUAAAUUUUAGUAAACAAAACACUCAUUUUAUUUAAUAAAUUUGUAAAAGUAUAAUAUAAGAAAAUUUAAAAUAAAGAAGAGAAAAAAAAAAUCUCUUCUUAUUAACUACACUUCUUUAUAAAAUUCACUCUAAAUUUACACUAAAUUUCUCUAGGAAAUUCACCUCUAAAAUUCUACACACGGAAUUGUCAAAUCUCUUGCCUUUAUAUAGGCAAAUUCUAGGUUGAUCAAGUGUGGGCAUUUACAUGAUAUUUUUGGUGAACUUGCAACCACAACCUUUAAAUGACCUUUGAUAAUACAAAUACAAUUCAAGGGGUCCAAAAUUGCAAGUAUUGUCAUGCAUUAUAAAACGGUUGAUUCAACAUAAUCAAUGGCUAUAAUGAAAUCAAAUCGGGAUCCUCCAUUGGAAUUUUUUUUUUUUUUUAAUUCAAAGUGGUUGAACCACCAAAAUUGAUGAGUAUUAAAUCUAGUGUAAAGAGGUACAUGUAAGCUUAGACACAAGGCAUGAUACCCAGCCUCUUAAAAUUAAUAUUAAAUAAAACGGCUACCUAUUCUUCCAAAAGUUAAAAUCAUAAUUUUUACUUUUAUUUAAUUAAUGUAUACUUUCUAGUAUUAAUCAUUGAUGAACAAUUUUUUAUUUCAUCACCGUCAAGAUUGCUUUUAUCUUAUACAAAUUUGUUUUAAACCUUUAAAUAGUUUCUAACGACUGUAUAAUUUUAUCUGUCCUUAUUUUUACCUCUUCUUAACUGACUUCAACUGUUGAUGUGAGUAUGUGUAUGUUACACUCAACGUAACAUAGGGUUACCCGAUUUUUAAAAGAAACGUGGCCAUCUGUUACUCCUUGGAUCACUUGCUUUUAAAUCAAAUAAUUACAUGAGAUAAAGACAAAACGCACACUAUAGUGUUACAGUUACCACAUAGACAUGGCUGUAGAGGCGCAAAAAAAAUCUAUUUGUUUAGUCACUGUACCCUUUUUCAUUCAUUUCGUCCGCUUCCAAAUCCUCGGGGAAAUUUACGAAAAAUAAAAAUGAUUUUAAGAAAUUUCGUCCACUUCCAACUUCAAAUAAAAUAAAUAAAUAAUAUCCGGUAAUGGUAUGACAAUUACUUCGGAGAAAACACUGCCCACCAAUUUUCUUCUCGGGCAGCGCCUUUGUCACAUUCGAGUCAAUUAAAAUCGUAUUGAAACUCUUUUUUUAAUUAUAUUUUUAUUUAAUAUUAAAAAUAUUAUUUUUUAAAUAAUAUUCUUUUUAUUUAUGAUUUUUUUUAAUUUCUAAUAGUUUUCUCACUCUUUUCGACUUAAUAUUUAUAUUCCUCUCUUAAAUUUUUUUUUACUAUUUAAUUUCUAAAGAAAAAAAUUUAAAAAAAAUCAAAAAAAAAACUUUAUACUUAAAAAAUAAUGAAUAUUUUAUGGGUUUAAUAUAAUUUUAUCCUCCCUAUAAAUUUUGGGUUUAUUGAGUUAGCAAUUAAUUUGAGAAUCCUUAAAAAAUUAGUUGUAAAGGGAUAAAAUUUUAUUUAGUUUAUUUUUUCCUACGUUGUAUCUUAAUUAAGUUGUUAUAUUUAUUAUAAGAAUUUUGUUUUGGCUUAGAGGAUUACUUCUUAAAUUUAAAUUAUUUUAGUGAUAACAAAAAAAUUUAUAUCGUGCAAAUAAAAUAAAAUUCAAAAGAGAAAGAAAAUGUAAAUAAUUUUAUUUUAUUUAAAUUUAUUCUUAAAUAUAAUUGUAAUAUAAUAAAAUUUUUAUGAAAUUAAUGAAGGAGUAUCAAUAGUCGAACUCAUUAUAUUUUUUGUAAUAAACUAUUUUUUUUUUAAAGAAGAAAUGCUUUCAUUAAAGCAAUUGGGUGAAUACAUUUAUGAUUUGUAGGGGAAAAGGUCCCCUCCAGACACAAUCAUCACUGCAUGCUAAUGCUGUAUUGGCUAUAGCAUGUGCCAUUGCAUUACGUUCCCUUGGAAUGUGCUGGAUUACAAUCAUACUCUCUCCCUCAAUUUUGCUUUGGAUAUCUUCAAUGCUCCAAAAAAAAUCUCUGUUCUACUGCUCCUCUUACGCAGCACCAAAUCAACCACCACUUUUGAAUCCGAUUCGACAGUCAAAGGGGUCCAUCCUGCAUCUUUGGCCACCUCGAUUCCCAGGUUAAUAGUGAAACAAACAAUUUGUAAAAGUAUAAUACAAGAAAAUUAGCCACUAUGCCUUUACUCAUCACAUUCGCUUAAAAAAUUAACCACUCAUAUUAGUAAAUAAAAUAUUUAUUUUAUUUAAUAAAUUUAUAAAAAUAUAAUAUAAGAAAAUUUAAAAUAAAGAAGAAGAGAAAAAAAAGAAAUCUCUUCUUAUUAACUACACUUCUCCAUAAAAUUCACUCUAGAUUUACUCUAAAAUUCUCUAGGAAACUCACCUCUAAAAUUCUACACAUCGAAUCAUCAAAUCUCUUGCCUCUAUAUAGGUAAAUUCUAGGUUGAUCAAAUGUGGGCAUUUACAUUAUAUUUUUGGUGAACUUGCAACCACAACCUUUAAAUGGCCUUUGAUAAUACAAAUACAAUCCAAGGGUCUAAAAUUACAAGUAUUGUCAUGCAUUAUAAAAUAGUUGAUUCAACAUAAUGAAUGACUACAAUGAAGUCAAAUCGGGAUCCUUCAUUGAAUUUUUUUUUUUAAUUCAAGGUGAUUAAACCACUAAAUUGCUAAGUAUUAAAUUUAGUGUAAAGAGGUGCAUGUGAGCUUAGACUCACGGCACGAUGAAACAGUUAUCAAUUCUUCCAAACGUUAAAAUUAUAAUUUUUACACUAAUGGUAAUCAUUGAUGAAUAAUUUUGUAUUUCAUCACCGUCUAAAUUGCAUUUAUCUUACACAAAUAUGUCUCAAACCUUUAAAUAGAUUCUAACCACUAUAUAAUUUUUUCUGUCCUUUAUUUUAACAGAAACGUGGCCAUCUAUUGCUCGUUGGAUCAUUUACUUUUAAAUCCAAUAAUAACCUGAGAUAAAAGACAAAACGCGUACUAUAGUGUCACAGAUGCAACACAUACGUGGCCGUAGGAGGCACAGAAAAAUCGAUUUGCUUUGUCACUGUACGCUUUUUCAUUUGUUUUGUCCACUUUCACAUCCUCGAGAGAAACAACACAAAUAAAAAAGAUUUUAAGAAAAUUUGAUGCUUUGUUCGCCGAAUCUCUCCACUUUUAAAUAAAGUGAUUGUCGUGAUCCUGAAUUGAUCAUGUGAUGCCGAGCGCAUCUCAUAAAGAAUGUNNNNNNNNNNNNNNNNNNNNNNNNNNNNNNNNNNNNNNNNNNNNNNNNNNNNNNNNNNNNNNNNNNNNNNNNNNNNNNNNNNNNNNNNNNNNNNNNNNNNNNNNNNNNNNNNNNNNNNNNNNNNNNNNNNNNNNNNNNNNNNNNNNNNNNNNNNNNNNNNNNNNNNNNNNNNNNNNNNNNNNNNNNNNNNNNNNNNNNNNNNNNNNNNNNNNNNNNNNNNNNNNNNNNNNNNNNNNNNNNNNNNNNNNNNNNNNNNNNNNNNNNNNNNNNNNNNNNNNNNNNNNNNNNNNNNNNNNNNNNNNNNNNNNNNNNNNNNNNNNNNNNNNNNNNNNNNNNNNNNNNNNNNNNNNNNNNNNNNNNNNNNNNNNNNNNNNNNNNNNNNNNNNNNNNNNNNNNNNNNNNNNNNNNNNNNNNNNNNNNNNNNNNNNNNNNNNNNNNNNNNNNNNNNNNNNNNNNNNNNNNNNNNNNNNNNNNNNNNNNNNNNNNNNNNNNNNNNNNNNNNNNNNNNNNNNNNNNNNNNNNNNNNNNNNNNNNNNNNNNNNNNNNNNNNNNNNNNNNNNNNNNNNNNNNNNNNNNNNNNNNNNNNNNNNNNNNNNNNNNNNNNNNNNNNNNNNNNNNNNNNNNNNNNNNNNNNNNNNNNNNNNNNNNNNNNNNNNNNNNNNNNNNNNNNNNNNNNNNNNNNNNNNNNNNNNNNNNNNNNNNNNNNNNNNNNNNNNNNNNNNNNNNNNNNNNNNNNNNNNNNNNNNNNNNNNNNNNNNNNNNNNNNNNNNNNNNNNNNNNNNNNNNNNNNNNNNNNNNNNNNNNNNNNNNNNNNNNNNNNNNNNNNNNNNNNNNNNNNNNNNNNNNNNNNNNNNNNNNNNNNNNNNNNNNNNNNNNNNNNNNNNNNNNNNNNNNNNNNNNNNNNNNNNNNNNNNNNNNNNNNNNNNNNNNNNNNNNNNNNNNNNNNNNNNNNNNNNNNNNNNNNNNNNNNNNNNNNNNNNNNNNNNNNNNNNNNNNNNNNNNNNNNNNNNNNNNNNNNNNNNNNNNNNNNNNNNNNNNNNNNNNNNNNNNNNNNNNNNNNNNNNNNNNNNNNNNNNNNNNNNNNNNNNNNNNNNNNNNNNNNNNNNNNNNNNNNNNNNNNNNNNNNNNNNNNNNNNNNNNNNNNNNNNNNNNNNNNNNNNNNNNNNNNNNNNNNNNNNNNNNNNNNNNNNNNNNNNNNNNNNNNNNNNNNNNNNNNNNNNNNNNNNNNNNNNNNNNNNNNNNNNNNNNNNNNNNNNNNNNNNNNNNNNNNNNNNNNNNNNNNNNNNNNNNNNNNNNNNNNNNNNNNNNNNNNNNNNNNNNNNNNNNNNNNNNNNNNNNNNNNNNNNNNNNNNNNNNNNNNNNNNNNNNNNNNNNNNNNNNNNNNNNNNNNNNNNNNNNNNNNNNNNNNNNNNNNNNNNNNNNNNNNNNNNNNNNNNNNNNNNNNNNNNNNNNNNNNNNNNNNNNNNNNNNNNNNNNNNNNNNNNNNNNNNNNNNNNNNNNNNNNNNNNNNNNNNNNNNNNNNNNNNNNNNNNNNNNNNNNNNNNNNNNNNNNNNNNNNNNNNNNNNNNNNNNNNNNNNNNNNNNNNNNNNNNNNNNNNNNNNNNNNNNNNNNNNNNNNNNNNNNNNNNNNNNNNNNNNNNNNNNNNNNNNNNNNNNNNNNNNNNNNNNNNNNNNNNNNNNNNNNNNNNNNNNNNNNNNNNNNNNNNNNNNNNNNNNNNNNNNNNNNNNNNNNNNNNNNNNNNNNNNNNNNNNNNNNNNNNNNNNNNNNNNNNNNNNNNNNNNNNNNNNNNNNNNNNNNNNNNNNNNNNNNNNNNNNNNNNNNNNNNNNNNNNNNNNNNNNNNNNNNNNNNNNNNNNNNNNNNNNNNNNNNNNNNNNNNNNNNNNNNNNNNNNNNNNNNNNNNNNNNNNNNNNNNNNNNNNNNNNNNNNNNNNNNNNNNNNNNNNNNNNNNNNNNNNNNNNNNNNNNNNNNNNNNNNNNNNNNNNNNNNNNNNNNNNNNNNNNNNNNNNNNNNNNNNNNNNNNNNNNNNNNNNNNNNNNNNNNNNNNNNNNNNNNNNNNNNNNNNNNNNNNNNNNNNNNNNNNNNNNNNNNNNNNNNNNNNNNNNNNNNNNNNNNNNNNNNNNNNNNNNNNNNNNNNNNNNNNNNNNNNNNNNNNNNNNNUCAUAAAGAAUUUAUGAACCUCAAAUAAAUAAAUAAAUAAUAUCUGACAAUGGCAUGACACUUACUCUGGAGUGAACACCGGCCCACUAUAUUACAUUUUCUGUAACAAACAAUUGAAGAAUAUGUUUCGGCCGACAUUCAUAAUUUUCUCCAUAUGUUUUAAAGCCAACCCCCUCCUUUAUGGACUCCACUUUUAAGGGGAAAUUUAUAAAAAUAACCAUUAAUAUUUUAUUAUUUUCGUAAUUAAUCCUCUUAAUUUUUUUCUAUCAACAUUAGCUAAACACAAGCCUUUCUUCCCAAAUUACCCUUCUUUACAGAACAAAACCAACAUUGUUUCUCCCAUCUCGCCAAACCAAAAGCAGAUUUUCAUUCUUGAAUCAUCAGCCAACGGCGACCGCAAAAGACAACUGUGAAAGUGAUAUCCGAUCAUAAUCUAUCCAGAUUCAACACAAAUCGACAUCACUUACUGGUAUGAAUUAUUUUUUGAACUUACUGAACUCAGUCGGGUGAAUCUGAAUCUGGCGACAGGCUGCCUGUCGCAGCAAAACUUGGUGCGACAGGCACCUGUCCCACCAAACCUUGGUGCGACAGGCAGCCUGUCGCACCCACUCUUGGAGAUUUAUUAAAAUUGUAUUAUUUUAAUUAGGACUGAAAUAAAUUUUUUUUUUUAAUUUCAGGCUUAAUGGAUUCAGUUGUACUUGAAUUGUGUUACGAUGGUUGGUGGGAGACAUUAGAGAAUGACUGUAUGGAGUACGUGAAUGGUAAAAAUCGAGCUUUUUUGGUUGGAAAAAAUUACCUGUUUGAUCAGUUAUUGGCAAGAGUAUACGAGGUGUUAAAAAUAAAUCCUAAUGACUAUAGUAUCACAAUGAAGACAACUUUGAGGUCUAGUAACACAUUAUAUCGUAUAUGUGCAAUGCCCAUGGAUAUAUGUGAUGAUGAAAUGGUGAGGGUUGUGUUGCAUAUGGCAUCUGACGUAGCUAAUUUUGGAUGCAUUCCUAUAUUCGUGACCACAUCACCUCGAGUUCCGAGCGAAGGUAUUGAGCCACAUGUCGAUACAGAAACUUCGUUUAGAGCAAAUAUGUCUGGCCCCGAUAAUGAUGAAGAGGUGUUGCCAAGGACAAUAUCGCUGCAGCAAUAUUACUCUCCAAUCCACGACAAUUAUGACAACAUUGAUGAUAAUGGCGUUACGUUACAGGAUGUUGGAGCAACGGUAUUUCCAAUAACAACGUCGUUGGAGCAACAAUAUUUUCCGUAUCACAACAAUGAUUUUCGGGACAAUGAUGAUUUUCAUAAUGAGACAGAGGGGGAUAAUGUUUGUGCAGAACCUUCUAAUAAUACAAGGCGGGGCACUCGUUUCAAUAAUGAUGGUGAUGAUGGAGGAGCCGGUCCUUCGAAUGUUCCGUCGUUUCAGGAUGAGGAUGAGUGUGAAGACAAUACUCCUGUGAAUAACAGAGGCAAUAGACCUAUUCCUUCUAUGGUUCGAUCGAGAAGGAGAAUUGACCCCCUUACAAGUCUUGCUCCAACUUUACCUUCGAACAUGGUUGCUCCAAGCUUUGUUAGCAGUUGUGACUCAGAUGAUAUCAGCGUGGGUAAGCUAUUUGCUGAGAAGAAUGAGCUUAUAUUACAACUACGCAAGGUGGCCUUUAGAGAUAAGUUUGAUUUCAAGAUUGCACGGUCUACUACGACACGUUUCGAGGCUCACUGUUGUUCAGAAUCAUGUAAAUGGCGUAUUCGAGCAACUAGAAGUUCGAACGAGCAACAUGUUCCUUGGGUGGUGAAGAGAAUUGAUAAUGUACACACUUGUCAUAAUGAGGUAUUGGUUGAUGGACGUCAUCAAGUAAGGAGCCGGGUUGUCGGUCAUAUUAUCGCAGAAAAAUAUAUUCAAGAUAAGAGGAUUUAUACUCCCAAUGACAUAAGAGCAGAUAUGCAACAGGAAUACGGUGUUCAGUUAACAUACCAGCAGGCAUAUAGGGCGAGAGAAGUUGGUCUUGAAAUAGUACGCGGCAACCCUGCAGAGUCAUACAAUUUGCUCCCUAAAUACUCUCACGUACUAACUACAGCGAAUGAGGGUACAGUCACUCACCUCGAGCAUGAUGGAGAUGGUAAUUUCUUAUACUAUUUUGUAGUACUCGGAUCUUCCAUCAAGGGGUUUAUGCAGUACAUUCGGCCUGUCAUUGCUGUAGAUGGUACUCAUCUGAAGGGAUUAUAUCGUGGAAGCAUGUUCGUGGCAACAUGUCUUGAUGGUAACAAUCAAUUGUAUCCGUUAGCCAUUGGGAUCAUGGAUUCAGAAAAUAAUGAUGCUUGGGAAUGGUUUAUGAUGAAGUUACAUGGAGUGAUUGGUGAUAGACCUGAGUUGGUAAUUAUCUCUGAUCGAUGCACUGCCAUAAGGAGAGCCGUUCUUAAAGUAUUUCACAAUGCAACUCAUGGCGUUUGUUUUUACCACGUCAAAGGUAACAUUAAGUCACAAUUUAGAAUGUCCAAAGCUCUUUGGGAUGAAUUUGAACCUGCCUUUAUUAAUGCAGCAAAAGCAUAUGGCCACGAGGAAUUUAAGAGACAACUUGAAGGGUUGUGGAUGAUCCACUCGGGUGCGGCUGAUUACCUAGAAAAUAAUGUCGGUACGUGUAAUUGGGCAAGGUCUCAGUUUCAAGGUAGGAGGUACAACAUUCUUACCACCAACAUCGCGGAGAGUGUUAAUGCUUUCAUGAGGGAACCUCGAAAAUUUCCUGUUACUCAUCUUGUUGAUCACUUCAGGAAAACAUUGCAGCAAUGGUUUUAUGAUAGAAAAAUUAUGGCUGAAUCAAUGACUACUCGGCUAACAACAUGGGCGGAUGAAAUAGUCACUGAGAGGAGAACUAUAGCUGAAAGAAUGAUAGUUCGGCCGGUGUCUCCGCAUCGCUUUCAAGUUAUAGGCGGUGGGCUUAAAGAAGGGUUGGUUGACUUGCAAAAGAGAACUUGCUCCUGCAGAGUGUUUCAGCUUGAUCAGCUUGUGUGUGCUCAUGCAAUUGCGGCGUGUCUAACACACCGGGUGGAUUUUAUUAACCUUUGCUCGGACUUUUACACUACAGAAUCGUUGGCGAUGGCUUAUGCACAACCAGUGGAGCCAGUUGGUGAUGUGGCUGAUUGGGAAGUUCCAGAUGAAAUUCAGGAGCUGCAGGUAUACCCACCAGUUGAGGCACCGCCACCUGGACGUCGUAAAGAGCGCAGAAUACCCUCGGCUGGCGAGGACAUUGACCGGCGGACUGUAAGAUGCGGCCGGUGUCAUGAACUUGGCCAUAAUCGUAAGCGAUGUAAGAAUCCUAUUGCGUGGACUCGAAGUUAGUUGUAUUUUGUGUGUUAUUCGUUGGUUAAAACUAUUAUUGUUUUUGUGUUACGUUGGUUAAAACUGUUAUUGUUUUUUGUAUUUCGUUGGUUAAAUUUUUUAUUAUUCAUAAAACUUUAUUUUAUUUUAAAGUUCAAAAUGUGAGGCAUUAAAAUUAUAUAAAAUUAAGUGUGGAAAUAAAAAAAAAUGUAAAUUUCAACAUUGAAAUUACUACAUAGGUCUACAAUAUAAUAUCGUCAUUAAAUAUAUCAACCGCAAUCUUCUUUCUAAAGUACUCGACAUGACUAGCGUUAAACUCCAACCUAAGCCCGAACAUUAAAUACAUCGUAACCAUCAAUACAAAAACACCGCAAUCGCCAGUGCCUCUUUCUUGUUGCGGCGCGCUCUUAACUGCGAUAACUUUCCACGGGUCUUCACUCCGCAACUCAGGUCGUAUAUUGUAGAAGCCAACAUAUUCCAACCAUCGAGGGAAUAUAACUUCAAGUGGCUUGAAUUUCAACUUGUACCUUUUGUCGUCGCGAAAUGUGAGUAAUGAGUCAUAAAUCCAGACUUUAUUUUUCCGAAAGUCAACUCGUGCUAGUACCCAAUGCGCGCCGUCCAAGUUAACAGGGAUGAGUAACUGCAUAUACAAAUUAAAAAACAUGUUCGUUAUAUAUGAAAUUGAAAUACAACAAAGAAAAAACAACUCCUCGAAUAUUUUCAGUAUAGAACAUGUGAAAUGUAAUAAAAUACAUACCAUAUCGACAUCCGUCAUUGAUUUUGACAUUGUGUUCUGUCGCCCACAAAGAUAACUAUUCAAGCGGUCGUCGAAUACCAUUGAAUCGACUGCACAAUUCCCGUUAUUCCAUAACUGAUUCAAGAACACCUAGUACAUAGAUAACCAAGAAAUGCAUAAAUUAAUAAAACUUAAAGGCAAUAAUUAAAGAAAUUAAAUAGUAUUUAUAAGUUUUGUCGGCACGUUACCCAAAAAAAUGUGUCCGUAUGUGUGACACGUUGGAGUAAGGCAUUUGGAUACUGCCGUUGUUUCUCGCUAAUCAAGCGGAGAUACUCGUGAAUAUGCUGUAGAGAAACAUAAAUAUUACGAUUUUAAAAAAAAAUUAUACACAAAUCCACAACAGUAUACACCACGAGGAAAAUAUAAAUACCUCAUCGCCUAGCCAUCCCAUCGAAGCUGUCCCCAAAAUUAUUUGAAAGAAUGACCGCGGGUGCUGGACGUUCCGGCGGACUCUGAUAUCACCAGUGAACCAUCGAUCAAACUCAGCAAACAAACUAGAGUCCUCCAAUCCUCUCAGUGGAUUUACAUCCACACUCGUACUCAUGUCAAUCGCAUGCUCCAUGAUUUGGGGUCGAGGUAACCUCCGGACGUUCUGUCCUCGCCUGACCGGAGGAAUCAUGUAAGGACUGUUAUAAACAUACGACGGUAUGUACGCGCGGCCGAACUUACUAACGCCCGGAGGCACCUCUGUGAACACCUGCACAGACUCCCCACUAACAUCCCCGUAGAAACUAACCAAUGACGUGGGCGUAGACAAAUUUUCAUUGCCCACGUCAGUAUACACUCCAUAGUCAUCCGGGGCCUGUACAAUCGCCAAAAAGAACAUAUUAAAUAAUCAUCAAAUUAAAAGUUAAACGAACAUAAUUAUUUAAUUUAAAUUAGCUUACUGCAUACGAGCGUGCAGUGGGAGAAUCCUUAUUUGGACGUUUAGAAAAUGUGUCGAUGAAGCCAACAACGGUUUCUUUAAAAUCUUUUAAUUCUGACUUUAUUUCAUACACGUUACGAUCAAUCUUAUCCAGCCGUCGUCGUACGUAAUCAUUAAACUGCUUUGUCCUCGACUAAUACAAAAGAAAAAAAUAAAACUUUAGAAUAACAAUAAAAAAAUAAUAACAACCAAAGUGAAAAAUAUCGUAUAUUAUUUAUAACCUCAGAAUCCCGUGCGUCAUCAGAGUUGUCUGUUUGCUGCGGGUGGUCAUCAACAGCCACCUCAUCCUCAAAAGUGUCAUGACGCUGCUCAAAAGUGUCAUGACGCUGCUCUGGUAUUGGGUUUGGUAUGUCGUCAUGAUCGUCAUGCUCGUCCGAUUGUCUUGUAACCGACGGCGCGUUGAUUGAGGGUUGGUGCUGUAUAAAGUAUCAUUUAAAAUUACUAAAUGAAAAGUCAAAAAUUUCGAUAAAAAAAAAUUUUGUACUUACAGUAUACCGACCUUAUGAACCCAGUCUGGAAUGCUUGGCAAGUAAUCCUUCACAGAGAGCCAAUAUUUUCUGCUACUCUCCUUUGAAUUUGGCUCAAGAGUUUGUAAAACGUCCGUCUGCCAUAAAUUUAAUUGAAAAAUUUAAGUAAGUAUACCCAACUUAAAUUUAGUAAAGUUAAAAAAAUAAGUAAUACAUAUUACUUACAAGACGAGAUUCGUCGUUGAAAAACGAAUAAACCUCCGCAAAGUUGAUUCUCGAAGACGCCAUAGGCUUCCAUUGCAGAAUGCGGGGAAUCUUACUCUUCGUUUUGACGACCCAUGUUGAUGGUAACCCUCCGAUUGCUUCAUAAAUCCAAGCCUACAACAACCAAAGUGAAAAAUUAAAUAAAACAACUAUCAAAUAUUUAAUACUAUAAAACUUAUUAAUAAACAAAAAAAGCACCUGCACCCCAGACAUAAAUCCGUAAAGAUUGUAUUUUUCAAUAUUAUGAUCUGGAUUUUUCAACCGAGUCUUCUUAAAUUUCUCGUCUUUUUCGAACAGUGCAUUGUCAAGACUCUCGUAAAUCAUUUCCCACGACAAUAGACCUCAUGGACGCUUUCGGAAGUACUGAAUAUCAUCAACUUGGUCAAGCCAAUCGAAAUUAAUUUGACAGUGAUUUUUUCUUGCAUUUAGUACUCUGUCCGCAAAAUAAAACAGCGCAAUCUUUAAUGCGUCCAUAUCGUCUAUUUCCUCGAAAUUCAACUCCUUAAAUACGGCAUCAAAUUGCUUCACAUUAAUCUUACGAUGCACACCACCAAAAUACGUAUUCCGUAGCCUCUGCUCCAUUUCAUCAUUUUUUUCAUUGGUAUCAACACCAAAUGAAAGUCCAGUAACCAAGCACCAUUCGACAAUUGACAGGCGAAUCAAAUGCUUACCAAUUUGAAACCAUAACUGAUCCUCACGGCUAUCUUCUUCAUGGGCCACUUGAUGCAGUAAAAGAUUAUGCAAAAUUACCCCACUAAAUGGAAAACUUCGACACUCCAAGAAAUGCCCAAAUAUAUCCUUUUUGAACAUACUCUACUGCCGCUUUGUUAAUUUUUCCUCGAUAGCUUUUACGACCGAAGAUAACAUACACAUGCUCGAAAUUCGACCAGGAAAGUGAUCAGCAUAACGAAAAUACAUCUUGCCUACUUCAAUAUCCGGUGAUUCUGAUUUCGCCAUGUAUCUGUAAUAUUUAUAAAAUUAUUACAUUAUAUUUACAGAAAUAAAAAAUUUACUCGUAAAAAAAAAAACUCUAAUUUUCUGGUGCGACAGGCGCCUGUCGCUCCAAAAAACUGGUGCGACAGGCCCUCUCGCACAAACGCUGAUGCGACAGGCGAGCGCCUGUCGCACCACAGCUGGUGCAACAGCAGGCGCUGUCGCACCAAAUCUGGUGCGUGAGGCUUGCUGUCGCACCAGAUUUGGUGCGACCGCAGGCCGCGCAUGGGCGCGCGCUGCUGCCUAGCGAUGGGCGCCGGCGCGCGCCCUGCCCCCCUCCCUUCCCACCCCCAAAAUUAAGCGCAAUCACUCCAAAAUCAAAAACAGUACUCCCAAACACCACCAACCACCACAAACAUCAUCACCACCAUUAUCAAUCUCAAGCUAUAACUAUUAUUAUUCUAAAAUCUCAUUUUAAAUUAAUGAAAAUAAGAAAAAUGACUAACCUAGGUUUUGUUGAAGGUUGUGGAUCGUAGAUCGGAUGCCGGUGAGAGAUGGAGCUGCCGCCGACGAGGGUUGAUGUCGCCGCCGAUGAUGGGAGUUGGAUCGGUUUGGGAGAGAUGAGAGAAAGGGAGUGUUGGGGAAGAGAUGAGGGAGGGGUAUUUUGGACUCAAAUGUUGUUUAAUGGCUAAUGUUGAUAGAAAUAUUUUUGGGGGGUUAAGAUGAAAAAAAGCAAAAUUUUUUUGAUUAUUAGUGUAAAUUUCCCACUUUUAAGAAGGAUGUUACCCACCAACACCAAGUAAACCAAAAAAAAAAAAAAAAAAAAACUCUUUUCCGCCUCUGCUUUCAUUCUCAAUCUCUUUGUCACUUCGUUUUUCCUUUUCUCCAUAUAUGAUAUUUAAUAACUAUUAAAUGCUUGUUUCGAAGGGUUUGCCUACGUUACAACGGUGAUACCGGAACAUUUCUUUUAUCUAUUGUGGCAGCUCUACUGUAAAUUUUAAUAAAGACCUUUCCACUCUUUUUUAUUUAAACUUUGUUUCAUUAGUAUUAACCCAGUUUUCACCUACAUCCAUAGACACAUUUCAAUCAGCACCUUACAUAUUUAAUAUUAUUUUUAUUCUAUUUUGCACCUGUAUCAUAAUACCCCUCUUUAUUAUUCUGAAAUUGAAUAAUAGUCAUGUUUAAUUUAGAACCUUACACUCUUUUUUUUAAAAAAAAUUAUUAGGAUAUUUUUUUAAAUAUACUAUCAAAUUUCAUGCAACACUUUACACUCUUUUUAUUAUAAAUUUUUUAAUAAAUAUUAUCUAAUAGUACUUUUUACUUACAUGUAUAAUGAAUUAUGUAAUCCCAAUAGUUCAAAAAGUAUUAUAAUUUUUAUUACUCUUAUUUUUAUCAUGUUAUUUAUUUCAAGUAUUCUUAUUUUAUGGGUGCAUUCGGUGCGUCAUUAUUUAUUGUAUUAAGUUGUAUUGCAUUAUUUUCUAUUACAUUAGGCUGUUUUAAACUAUAAUUUAGUAAAAAAAAAUUAUCUUUCAUGUAUAGGAAUAAAUUUUUUUAAUAAUAUAAUGUCAGUCCAUGCUACAUAAAAUUAAUUCAAUACCUAUUUGGAGACGAUGAAUUAUUAUUUACAACAGCAAAUCAAAUGGUUAAAUAACAAUGAUAAAAAUAAAAGUAUGAAAAAUUAUAAUAUUUUUAUAAUGGAACUAUUUGAAUUACAUAAUUUAUUGUGAAUCUCAGAAAACAGUACCGUAAUAUUUAUAAAAAAAACUUAAAAUAAAAAGAGUGUCAAGUGUUAAAUGAAAUUUGAGAGUGAAUGUAAAAAAAACUAAUAUUUUUAAAAAAUAUAAUUAAAAAGGAGUGUAAGUUUUUAAAUUAAACAUGCUAAUUAUUCAAUUUCAAAAUAGUAAAGAGGUCCAUAAAAAAAAAAAAGUUAAAGACAGGCAUUGUGAUAUAAGUGAAUAUUAGAUAAAAAAUUUAUAAAUAUGAUAUAAUAUAAGGUGUUAACAAAAAUGUACCUAUAGAUGUAGGUGGAAAUUAGUUUAAUACUUAUGAAAAAAAUGUUAAAUAAAAAUAAAUAGAGGGUUUGUAUAGAAAUUUCUCAAAAAGACAAAAGAAGUGGUAUGACACCGCUAGCGCAACGUAGCUGGACUCCAUUUAGAAUAGUUUAUUUGAUGAUUAUAAAUAUUUCUUUGAUUUUAUAAAUUGUUUUUAAAAUUUUUAUUUAUUUAGUUAUUUUUAAUAAAAUUUUUAAAAAUUAAAUAAAUUAUUUUACCUCUAUUAAUAAAAAUUUAAAUUUUAAAUCUUUUAAGAUAUUAAAAUAUUUAAAAUAUAUUUUAGAUACUUAACAAUCUUAUUUUAUUUUUAUUAAAUAAUUUUAAAAAUUUUAUUUAUUAAAAUAAUUUUAUAAUUUUUAAUAAAAGUCUCAUUAAAAAUUAAAAAAUUUAUUUUUUUAAUAAAAACUCAAUUUAUAAAAAUUUUAGGGUCUGCCUAAGUUACGUUUAAUGUAACUUACGGCUUAGCCCUAAAAUUUUAUUCAGCCCCCUAUGCUGAAUGUUAUUUAUAAUGUAUUUGUGAAUAUUAUAAAAUAUUUUAGAUUAUAAAAUUUCGUCUAAUCCCUUACACUCAAUUUUAUUUUAUUGAAAUCUUAGAAUAUGAAUUUGUCCCCUAUAAUUUUAAAUUUAUAAAAUAACCUCUAUUUAAUUAAAAAAUAUAAUAAUUAUUAAAUAAAUUAUAAUAAUUAUUAUUAUUUUAUUAUAAUCAUAAAUAUAAUUAUAUUUUUUAACAAUAUAAAGAGAAAAUUGAUGGAGAACUUUAAACAAUUUGACGUAUUCACAUUAUUUAUAUGUAUAUGCGAGUUAGAUAUUUAUUUAUUUAUUACAUUCUUUUUGUGAAUUAUAAAUCAUAAGGAAAUGAUUUUGAGGGAGUAAUUAGAGUCAUAAGUCCCUACUAUUUCUUUUAUGUAAUAGAAUUUAUGGAGCCAAUUAACGGUUGCAAAAAAAACCCUAUGAUGCUAAGAGUUUCAGUGAGUGUAUUUAUAGUAACUCCUCCAAUGACUUACUUUUUAAUUGAUAUGCAACAAUACCAAUAUUUUUGUGAAUGAAACUCGCACCAAUUUUCAUUGCCACUUUUGGUGUUGUCUAAACAUUUUGGCAUGGCACCAUUAAUAGAACAUCCAAGCAAAAAAAGUAAGAAAAGUUUUGUGAUUAAGAGAAAAUUAAUUGCAAUUAAUGGAAGUCAUUGGAGAAAGUGGUGCACUAUUGGAGAACUUUAAACAAAUUAAUCGCAUAAUGUGAAUAUGUUAAAUCAUCAAUUUUUAAAUAGAUGAUUAUAUUUUUUUAAAUAUAAUGUUUUAUUUAAAAAAUAUAAUUAUAUUUAUGAUUAUAAUAAAAUAAUAAUAAUAAUUUAUUUAAUAAUUAUUAUAUUUUUAAUUAAAUAAAGGUUAUUUUAAAAAUUUAAAAUUAUAGGAGGUGAAUUUAUAUUCUAAAAUUUUAAUAAAAUAAAAUUGAAUAUAAGAAAUUAAAUAAAAUUUUAUAAUUCAAAAAUUUUAUAAUAUUUAUGAAUAAAUUAUAAAUAAUAUAGAAUAUAGGGGCUGAACAAAAUUUUAGAACCUAACGAAUAAGUUACGUUAAACAAAUCAAAAUUUUAUUAAUAAAAAACUUUUUUAAAUAAAUUUUAUUUUAAAAAUUAUACUAUAAGACAAAAACCCUGCACUUACCAACGCGUACUGAUUAAAACCAUUCACCGGCGCCUGUGCUCUCACCAUCAAUGCUGUUAGUGAGUAAGCACAUCACACCUUAAUAAUGACAACUGUGUGUUAUCAUUUCGGUCAAAAAGGUAGGCCCCCCAAAAACAAUGAUAAUAAUUAACAGUCAUAAAUAAAAAAUAAUAUUGGGUAUGUUACCAUUUUGGUAAAAAAAAAGAUAAUUUUGCCGCUAAUUAUUUGGGUAGUCAGAUAAGAAUAACAAAACAUGUUAUCUUUCGCCUAUAACUUGAGGAGGUAAUAAAAGUCUUUCGUUAUACUCUACUGUUAGUUUCGCUUCUUCUUUAAUUCCUCUGAAGUCUUUCAACAAAAAUGGGUGGCGUCAUCUCAACCUUCUUAUCAGCGGACACAAUUCGUCCAAUUUUAUCUUACGUUGGUGGAGAAGCUAAUUAUAUAUGGGGUCUAAAAGAUAAUCUUGAUGACUUGCAGACUCAGAAGGAGAAGUUGAUUGAGAAAAAAGAAGAUAUGCUGAAUGAGGUUGAGCUUGCUGAACAACGACCCCGAACCAGACGGACGAGAUCGGUGCAACGCUGGUUUGAAAGAGUGGAUCGAAGGGUAACUGAAGUUGAGAGGCUGCAACAAGAAAGAGAUCAAGAGAUUGACAGAUUGUGCCUUGGAGGCUUCUGUUCCAAGGACUUGAUCUCAAGCUACAGCUUCGGGAAAAGAGUGGAGAAGAUGAAGAACGAAGUGAUCGAAUUGAAGAAAGGAGGAGAAGCAAUCAAUCCACUUUAUGAGGAGGUACCAGAAGGUGCAGCGGUUGCAAUAGCUGUUGAGCGAACAAUUGUCGGUCAAGAAUCAAUACUGGACCGAGUUUGGAGAUGCAUCACCGACCAAGAACAGAAUAAGGGAAUUAUUGGCUUAUAUGGUAUGGGGGGCGUCGGCAAAACUACUCUGUUAAAGCAAGUCAAUAACAAAUUCUGCAGUGAUGAACAGCAUCAUUUUGGUGUCGUUAUCUGGUCGGUUGUGUCUAGACAGCCAAACUUGAUGCAGAUUCAAGAGGAUAUUGGGAAAAGGAUAGGCUUCUCAACAGAUUCAUGGCAGAGAAAAAGUUUUGAAGAAAGGGCUUCAGACAUCACCAACGCUUUAAAGCAUAAGAAGUUUGUAUUGUUAUUGGAUGAUAUAUGGGAGUCCAAAAUUGAUUUAACAAAUUUGGGCAUCCCUCUUCAUUCUGGGUCCAAAAUAGUCUUCACAACUCGUUUUCAGGGCACUUGUGGUAAAAUGAGAGCUGACAAGAAGUUUCAGGUGUCUUAUUUGGGAGAUGAGGAUGCUUGGGAUUUAUUUCAGGCGGCCGGAGGAUUCUGUUUUGACAGUCAUUCGGAAAUUCGUGAAUUAGCCAAAACCAUGGCAAGUCAGUGUCAUGGUUUGCCGCUAGCACUUGAAACAGUGGGUCAAGCCAUGGCAGGCAAAGAGUUCCCUGAAGAAUGGAGACGCGCGAUUGAGAUCAUAAGCACAUCAGCUUCUAAAUUCGAAGAUAUGGAGAAAAAGGUGCUUUCGCGUUUAAAGUUCAGCUACGAUAGUUUGCCCAAUGACGAGCUUCGGUCUUGUCUCUUGUACUGUUGUUUAUUUCCGGAAGACUCUGAAAUUCGAAAAACCGACUUGAUAGUGUAUUGGGAAAGUGAAGGCCUUUUGGAUUCUAUUGGUGGGUGGGAUGUUCUCGGUGCUCUUGUUCGUGCGUGCUUAUUGGAGGAAGGAGGUGAUCAUGUAAAAAUGCACGAUAUGAUCCGUGACAUGGCAUUAUGGAUAGCAAAUGAAAUAGAGGAGGAGGAGAAGUUUUUGGUUCGUGCAGGAGUUGGACUAACUGACGCCCCAAAGAUUGAAGAAUGGGAAGGGGUCAAAAGGAUAUCCUUGAUGGAGAACGAAAUUCAAAGUCUACCACAAAUUCCCACUUGUCCGCGUCUCCAGACUUUGCUUCUGGAAUAUAAUCAUAUUGAGGAGAUCACUGAGAGUUUCUUUCAAUCUUUGCCUUCGCUUAGAGUUUUGAAUCUAAGUGUAAAUCAUUACCUAACUGAACUACCUGUAGGGAUUUCAAGUUUGGUUUCAUUACACCAUCUUGAUCUGUCUUCUACUAAAGUACGUGGAUUGCCGCAAGAGCUCAAGGCAUUGGUGAAUCUGAGAUAUUUGAACUUGGACUAUACAAAUGAAAUGUGUAAAAUGUGUAAAAUUCCAGAGCAAUUAAUAUCAAGCUUUUCAAAGUUACAGGUACUCAGGAUGCUGCAUUGCGGUUCAAACCACUGGCCAAUAGCGGAAGAAGGCAACGUUCUAUCCGAUGAUGCGGAAUCAUUGAUGAAGGAAAUCCACUGUUUGGAACAAUUAAAUCUCAUCGCCUUGUCCUUACGUGGUUCGCGUGGUGUUGAAAACUUUCUGAAAUUCCCAAAGCUGCAGAAUAUCACUCAAGCUCUGCACAUCAAAGACUGCAACAGUCUACCGCUCAAUUUGUUGCAUCUAGCAAACAUGGAGCAUCUUCAGCUGUUCAGCAUUUGGGACAGUAAUUUGGAAGACUGGAAUGUCGACUGCGCGGGAGAGGUACAAAAAAUGCUUAAACUUCACUUUGUUAAUUGCUCAAAUGUGAAGGACUUGACGUGGCUUGUUUUUGUUCCAAAUCUCAAGUGGCUGCAAAUAUUUAAUUGUGAUGACAUGGAAGAAAUAAUCAGUGUUGAAAAAUUUGAAAAAUUGGGUGAAGUUUCAGAGAUGAUGGGAGAGCCUAUCUUGUUCUCAGAACUCGAACUUCUGGUAAUAAGCAAUGCAAGUAAUUUGAAGCGCAUCUACCGCGAUCCCUUGCCCUUUCCACACCUGGAGCGAAUUGGCAUAUCGGAAUGCCCAAAGUUGAAGAAGCUCCCGCUCAAUUCCAGCAGCGCAAAGGGACGUAAAAUUGUCAUU
This 62918-nucleotide long non-coding RNA is filed under the name Citrus x clementina. Its description in RNAcentral is "Citrus clementina (C. clementina) long non-coding RNA (CCLE_LNC001410)". Lineage: Eukaryota; Viridiplantae; Streptophyta; Magnoliopsida; Sapindales; Rutaceae. The record is from RNAcentral.